CGCCGGAGAAUGGGCCAAGGUACUUAACACGGUCGGGGCCGUACCAUGGACUUCCUGAUGGUGCGACUUUCUUGACUGCUGUCUUCCUCAUGGAAACCCUUCCAUUUCCGGUGAUUUCUGAACCAGAUGGUGUUAUUUUCACUGCUUGUCCGAUGAAUGAAGAAGAUACAGACAUAGUGGAAGCUGCCAUUCUGUUAAAUUUGGUUGAAAGAUGUUGUGGAGAUAGGAGAGUUUGAGUUAUGAAGAUGGGGAGAUCUGCAAGUUUAUUUAUAAGGUGGUUUUUUGGUCAGAUAGAUAUGAUCGAUGCUUAUCUAGAUACAAUCUUCACCUUCAUUUUGAUUGGCAAACAACAUUCUAGUUUUAUCUAAGGGUCAGUAAUCUGCGUGCUGUGAGUUCUCUGGUCCACCAGAGAUUUUUGAAGGGGCUGCGGUAUAUUCAUGGCUCUGGUUUAUUGAGGGAAUGUAAUGGCUCCCAUUCUCAGCCACAAGCUGUUCUUGGUGGGGUUUUUCAUCUUUAACCAUUUUACAUUUUCACAAAGUUACAUAAAUAGUCAUCAUGCUUUACAAAGUCACCGGUUCAGCAACAAACUUUUUUUCCAUGAUUAAAAAUUCAAAACGGUCCGUAUGGUUUUAAUAUUAUUAGUAAUCAUCUUAACAUUUCUAAUUUUUAAAGACAAAUAUUCAUAUAAAUGGUUAUGUGAUUUUCCAGAAUAUCAAGUGGAGCACAUCAUUUUUUCGGUCUUAUGGAAUGACUAUUUGGUUUCAAUUCCUAUCAUAAUUGAUCUUAGAGCAUCCACAAUAGGGGAGUUUAAUGGAAGAGUUGAAUGAGGUGUCAUGCCUACUUGUCAUUCAAUGGAUACAACUCCACCAUUGUGAAAUGCCACCUUGGCAUUCAAUGAAUUUGGAGUUCAAUGGUCAUUGAACUCUUCAAUGGGAAAAAGGAAAAUCUUUAAAUCUUUAAAUAAAUAUUUUUUAAUAUAUUCCAUUGAACUUGUAGAGUUUAAUGCAUUGUGGGAUAAAAAUGAAAAGAGUUGUAUGGAAUAAUGAAUGAUGACGUGACACUCCAUUGAACUCUAUAGAGUUCAAUGCAUUGUAGAUGCCCUUAGUCCCACAUAAAUAAACUUUUAUACCCUUCUAUAUUAUAAUUAGUUUAUUUAAUAUAUAAAUAGCUAUGUUUUAUAGUUAACAAUAAAUUUUGUUCAUNNNNNNNNNNNNNNNNNNNNNNNNNNNNNNNNNNNNNNNNNNNNNNNNNNNNNNNNNNNNNNNNNNNNNNCUCUCUCUCUCUCUCUCUCUCUCUCCCAUCACACCCUCCUAAUCUUUAUUUCUUUCACUCGAUCGGUCAACCUCUUUUCUUUCUACAUAAAAAUUAAUCCAAAAUGCAGCCUUUUCCCAUACUCUGUGCUUGCACCGCCACUUUACCUUCUUGAAACCAAAUUACUAACCAUACACAAGUCUACAAAUCUACUAAUGUGUCUUCCAUUUCUCAAAAUCGAAAAAUAGAGAAGGUGUAGAACAUUGAGCUCACUUCUGUGCAUCUCCCACCUCUUUUACACAAAUAUGAAAUUAAAAUUGAAGAACAACUUUGUGAAGAACCUAGAUUGUGGAGAUGAUGAUGAAUAAAGUCGAUAGUUGGUGGUGCUCGGUGAUGUUUGAUGUUAGCGGCAGUACACUAGUGUUGUGGUGAUCGCCUGUUCAGUUGGUUAUAUUCUGGUAGGGUGGACGAUGGUGACCGUAGAACAGUUCAUAUAUAUAUNNNNNNNNNNNNNNNNNNNNNNNNNNNNNNNNNNNNNNNNNNNNNNNNNNNNNNNNNNNNNNNNNNNNNNNNNNNNNNNNNNNNNNNNNNNNNNNNNUAUAUAUAUAUAUAUAUAUAUAUGUGUGUGUGUGUGUGUGUGUGUGUGUGUGUGUGUGUGCGCGCGCACACUACAAGAAAUUUAGGUGUUUAUCCACACACGUUAUAUGUGGCUAAAAGACCUUUAUGUGUAGUUAUCUUUAGCUACACACAGAUUAAGUGUCAUAAUGUAUUGACUCAUGCCUAUAGAUAUAUAUCAUUAACUAUACAUUCAUUAUGUGGAAGUAUAGUGCAAUUAGUACACACAUACAUGUGUGGUUAAAACUAGUAAGUAUGUGCAUAUAGAAAGGGAGCUGAUCCGUUCACAACAAUUUUUCUCCAUACACAAUAAUUGAUGCUUUAAAAUGUUGUAUUAUACAACUAUAUAAUGCAUGAAUUGUUGUGUAUGGCAAAAAACUGUUGUGUACGAAUCACUUCCCAUAUAGAAGUACUAAAAAUUGUUUGAGUUGUCAACGAUGUGGCUGAUGACAUGUCAAAUUAUGUGGCAAGCCCACACAAAGUGUUGGUGAUAUGUGUUAUUCGAUAUGUGUGGGUAAUAAUUGUUAUAUGUGUAGGUUAAGAUAAGAUAUAUGAAAUAUAUAAAACACAAUAAAUGAAAUAUAAAAUUUAACAACACAAAUUGUUAUUACUUUUAAUAAGGAGUUAACGAUAUAUAAAACUUCUUUUGGAAUGGAAGUAUGUAGCACCCAAAGUCAGAAAGGCCAAGAAAGGAAAGGAAACCCUAAGUUUAAGGGACGACUCAGCAAGUCCAAGGAGGUACUCGGCGAGUCCGAGCGGGAUCCGGGUCGAGGAGUAAAUGACCGACUCGGCGAGUCGGCCAAGGAGACUCGGUGAGUCUGGUCUGUACGAGGAAAUCCCUAAAUUCGGGACUUGGAGCCUAUUUAAGCGCCUCAUUCUCUUCUCUAGGGUUCCUCUACUGCCUCUCUAACCNCUCAACCCCACCCCCGCCCCGCCAUAUCCAUUGUUGAGCCAAUUAUUGCUUUGAAGAGUGCAUUAAAGCUUGGAGAAGGAAGAAGGACCUUGGAGGUGCAAGAAGGAGCUAUAGAUCUGGGCUUGGGAAGAUAUUUCUGAACAUUUGGAGGUAAUAAACUAGUUCUUGGACUCCUUUGCACCUAGAUCUAUGUGUGAGUUUUGGGGCUUUUGGCCAUGAUUGGUACCCAUUUAAGUUAGAAGCCAGAUCUAAAGUUGCUACUUCGGAUAUAAGCAUAUUAUGGGCUUGUGAAGCAUAAAGUAUCAGCCCUUGAGUUGAUUAUGGAGCCUCUUUGCAUUAAACCCUAUUUUAUGGUGUGUCUAGCCUAGAUCUCCUUCUCUACACGUAAAGUUUGCAACUUUACGUGAGGAAUAGGCUUGGGAAGGGUAGAUCUACAGUUUGGGGUCCAUGCAUGACUCAAAAGUCCUCUACAUGUAUGUAGAUCUGAAUGGACUCGGCGAGUCCUUUGAGUGGACUCGGGGAGUAGCAUGAAGAUUAGGAGGAACUCAACGAGUGGGAUGAACAGCUCAUCGAGUCGGAUGAAGUUGGGCAGGAACUCGGCGAGUUGGAAGAACAACUCGGAGAGUCGGUUGAAGAUUGCCUUGGACUAGGUGAGUCUGUUCUUGGACUCGGCGAGUCAGGUCGCGAAACCCUAAACCCUUCGACUUGAGACUCGAAUCAGUGAGUCGAGUGGAGACUCGGUAAGUUGGACAGGUCAGGACUCGGAAAUCGGUAGACUCGGCGAGUCAUGGACUGACUCGGUGAGUCGAGUCGCGAUUGGAAGGACUUAGAGCAUAUGAACUCGGCGAGUCAAUAGGUAGACUCGGCGAGUAGGGUUGACCUGGAAGAUUGACUUUGAACAGGACUUUGACUUUGACCAGAGUUGACUUAGUUGACUGUUGGGGGUCAGUUAGUCUAAGUGUUUCAUUGAUAUUGGUAGCUCGGGGAGCUAGUGGAGCAGGAGUUCAGAGAGUUUCCGGGCAGCAUCCAGAAGGUUAUCAGCAUGUUCAGCAAGUGCAUGUGAGUUUCCCUUUGUGCCAAUGGGUCUACGGUCACAAUGUCGGCCCAUGUAGUUAUGAGUAGAAGACCCGGGGGUUAGCCCUAGGCACAGUAUGCUAGUAUGAUAUUCAGGACGAGGUCCAAUGAUAGCGGGCGGGUGCCCAAGGAAUGGUUUAUGUGAUAGUUUAUACUUGUUGUAUGUGUGAUACUUGUAUGUGUCUGGUAGGGAGGUGAGUGUGGGCGAGGUCCCGUAUCUCACCAAUAGCAGAGUGUGGAUGGUGUUCCACAUCUCAGUAGCAGCAGAGCAGGGGCGAGGCCCAAGUUAGGGAAGGAGUGAGGGUGGGCUGGGCCCGUACCUCACUAUCAGCAGGAGUAUGGACGGGGUUCCAUGACUCAUCAGUAGCAGGACAAGGGCGGGGCCCAGAGAUAGGCGAGGCCUUAGGACAAGAUCCGUUAGUAUGUGUUUAGCUUAUGUGAUGUGAUGUGAUAUGUUUAUGUGCUAUUAUAUGUUAGUGGGCGAGGCCCUGUGACAGGCGAGGCCUAAGUGAAACAGAUCUGUAUCCGAGCGGGGCUCGAAGCCAGGCGGGGCCUGGAGCGGCGGGGCCGUUGUAGCGGGCGAGGCCCGAGGUAGGGGGGGAGGCCCAGGAUAGCGGGCGUGGCCCAGCGUGUGCAGUAUGUGGUUAUGCAUGGUAUGUGGUAGGGUGGGGAACUCACUAAGCUUCGUGCUUACGGUUUUCAGUUUUGGUUUCAGGUACUUCCGGUAGCGGAGGGAAGAGCUCGGGGGUGAUCGCAUGGCACACACCAUAGAUUAGACAGUCUGGGAAUGUUUUACUCUGACAAUGAACAUGUGUUUUGGAAAAUUAAUACUCUGAUUAUGUUUUGAAUUGGUGACCUUGCUUAAAGAAAUCUUUUAUUAAAAGAAAUUUUUAGUCAUGAAUUUUGGGACGUUACAAGUUGGUAUCAGAGCCUUGGUUUGAGGGAUUCGGGCAUACUCUCGGGUGUGCCUGAACUCAAACUAAGGGGUCGGAUAAAAAGUUUUCAAAAUGAAAAGACAGUUUUCUAAAAAGAGAGUUUUGGGAAAGAAAACAGUUUUAGAAAAGCAAAAAGAAUUCAGAAAGAAAAGAACUUUGAAAAGAAAAAAAUGGUGUGGUGCAUGCAAUCAGCUGGUCUUAAGUAAGUACCCCAAAUUACCCAUACAAGUUUAUGUUAUGAUUAUCAGUUAGUAGAACAGCAUGCUAGAUUAGGACUAAGGAUCUAGGGAGGAUGCCUUAUGUGCCUAUUAUAUGUGCUUUGAGUUGCAUGAUAGUGUUGAUUAGACAGUGGUAGGAUAGCCUGUUUAGGUUAUGCCUGAGUAUAUGAGUUUGUGUUGCAUGCUAGUUCAGAUUCUUGCUAUGUGGAUAUGAUUGCUUAUGUAUGUUAUGGUUAGAUUUUCCCCUUGUCUGAAUGCUGCCUGCUUUGUGCAAUAUGGGAUUCCGAGUGAUGGGAGUAACCAUUAGGUGGAUACGUCACGUCACAUGUGAUCAGGGUUGAAUAAUCUCAGAGUGCUAAAUUUGGCCCUAUUUCGCAGCUCUCGUUUGAGUCCAACCAUUGUAGGGAUGAGUCUUUUACUCGAAGAAUUAUCUGAGCCUUGUCACAUGUGAUGGUGUCCAGUUGAUGGCCAAUUGGCAUCACAAGGAGUCCUUCAGCAGCUGAGGCCUGGUUUGGUGUGAGUCAGAGGUUUCCUUAGGGUAAGCCUAGGAUGAGAUAGUGUUGGGAGCAGUAGUAGUGGAUAAGGGACCUGGUGGAGUCGAAGCAAUUCCNGAGGAAAGUACAGAUAGAUAUGGAUGGUAGUAUGGGCCCGUACUACUGAAAGCAGAGGAUCCGUACUCGAUUCGGGAAAGGCUGAGACAAGACCGAGAACCUAGUAGGGUGAGUGUGUGUCUGGUCUCACAGCAGUGAUAAGUAUUCUGAUAGAGGAUGUAUUAUAUAUUCAGCAUGGUGACAUUGCGAGAGAGACCAGUGGGUGGACCAGGCGCCGGAGAGGGAUCGCUCGGGGUCNAGCAGCUCGAGGAGCGGAUGAGGGAGUUGAUAUCAGCUGAGGUUACGCGCAGUAUUCUAGAUCAGACUCCUGUGAUCUUUGGCACGGUCAAGGAGGGUAUAUUGGAGAUUUUGGAUGAGAGGCUGGGAGCCUUCCGUACCGAGAUGAUGGCAUUGAUGGGAGCACGUACCUUGACAUUUCGAGAGUUCAGGGCUUGCGGGGCACCAGAUUAUCAUGGGGCUAGGGACCCCAUCGCUAGCAGCAGAUGGUUGGUUGAUGUUGCCAAUGCAUUCCGUACGAGCCGGUGUCCUGAGGGGGACAAGGUUAGGCUCGCUUCUUGUCUUCUGAAGAACAGAGCAAGGGAUUGGUGGGAGGAGAUUAGUCAUGCCUUGGGGGAUGAUGUCGCGUUGGAUGCGAUGACUUUGAGCGAUUUCUCGUCCAGGUUCAGGGCGGAGUUUUCGCCGAUUAUUGAGGUGCAGCAGUUGCCACAGGAGUUUCAGGAUUUGACGCAGACCACUGAGACUGUGGCGGAGAUCACCGCCAAGGUCAGGGAGAGGGCUCUUCUUGUACCGCAGUGUGUCGCGGAUGAGGAGAUGAAGAAGGCCCGAUACCAUGAGAUGUUGAGGGAUGAUAUCAGGGUGUUCGUGAUCAGGUCCAGCUGUAAGACGCUAGAAGAUAUGAUUUCUCGAGCUAGAGAGAGGGAAAUUGAUUUGGAGCAGAUCCGGAAGAGGAAGCCGGAUGAGGUUUAGGUAGCCACAGGUUCGGGCAAAAGGCCUAAGGGAUCAGAUUCGAGAUCGAGGGAUUAUCAGGACCGCAGUCGGUGCGGGAAGUGUGGCAGGGCGCACAGGGGUGCGUGUAGGAGUGGUAGCGGUGGUGAUUCUGGCUGCUUCAAGUGCGGUCGGACUGGUCAUUUCAGUAGAGAUUAUACUGUUACCACCACACAGGGAUCAGACUUGAUAUGUUUUCACUGCAAUCAGCGGGGCCACAAGAAGGCCCAGUGCCCCAGUUUGUUUUCAAUAGGACGGGUGAUGACACUUGCCCCUGCAACUUUGAGGAUCACAGACGGCCGUCAGGGCCGUGCAGAGGCGCCUGCGGUAGGAGGCAGGUCUUUUCAGAUGACUACCUUGGAGGCGCGAGCAGCACCGGACGUUGUAGGUAUGCGAUUUUGUUUUCAGUUCUUUUAUUUGUGCAUGAUUAUAUUGUUAUGGUUCUGGAUCAUCAUUGGUUUGAGUAUUUUAUUUUUUGAGCGGUUGAUUGUGAUCGAGUUAUAUGCCAUCUUAAUACCUUGGAUAUUUGAAUGGUAGUUAGGAGAUGUGCUCUAUUAGAGAAGGUUUCAUAGGAUGCAGUAAUUGUAGCAUGCCUGGGAGGGACUUGGUAUGUCUCGCUAGAUCGGAGUUGUAUAAUGUUAGAGAUGGAUUGGUUAGAUCCCUAGCUAUGGUGAGCUUGGGUUCCUCAGCAGCUUGAUUAUGGAAUGGUAGCAAGGAUUGGGAUUCUUUUGAGUAUUGAGCAGCAAGGGGUAAGCAGGAUCGAAGUGGGGGAGAAUCCUCCGAGUGUGCAAAGGUAGGAUCACGCAGACCCAAAAUGAGUGCGCGACCUCCGAGAAGGAAAAGAAGUAGUUCAGCGUUUGAUGGAUUGAGGAUUUCAGGGUUGGGAUUUUGAGAAACUCCCCAUCAGCUAGUGCGUGUGAUGGUGAUGGUUAGUAUGUGGUUGGGAAUUCAGGUUGUGGAUCGCCCGUAGGACUCGAGGGAGUCGGAAUGAGGAUCUUGAGAGCUAAUGGCACAUGGGUGCCUUCGUAUUAGCAGUCAGUGGUAGAAAGUGAUGUAAGACUACGGGGCAGCCGUAGCAUUCACUAACAGUUAGUGGUAGAAAGUGAUGUAAGACUACGGGGCAACUAUAACACUCACUAGUAGUCAGUGGUGGAAGUGUUGUAAGACUACGGGGCAACCAUAGCAUUCACUAGCAGUCAGUGAUGGAUGGUGAUGUAAGACUACUAGUAAGCCGUAGCAUUCCUUAGUAGCUUCGUUAGCGGAGUUGGGGCGAGGCCCUUAUCUCCUAGCGAUCAGAUAGGGAUCAGGAAUGGGUAGUGGAUGAAAGUGAUAGGAAGUUUGCUUGUAUAGCCCUAGAGAGGUGAGACCUUGGGAGAGGCCGCUCCAGGAUAUAGUUGGGUGAGGCCUGUGGGCGAGGCCCGUAUGAGAGUAGCGGUAUAGGUGAGACCUGAGAGUAGGGUUGCUCAGUAGUAUGGCCGGGUGAGACCCGUAGGCGAGGCCCGAGAGAGAGUGGUUAGACAAGUAGGACUAGAAGGAUAGAGGCGGGGGGGACCCGUGGGCGAGGCCCGUGUGUUUUAGCGGCAUAGGGGGGACCUGGUAAGGACCUUAGUGUCAAGAUAAGGGAUCGGGGAUCCAUGGAUUGUAGUGACUGAAUGGCAGAAUAGAUUGCGCAGUUAUAGGUGGUCAAAGUUCCUUCGAAAGUCGCUGGGAGCGACUAGGAGUAGUGUUGGGACUAGCGACCGGUGGGAUCCGGUAAUCCAGAUAUUGGUAGGACGGUAGGGAUUAGGGUGGUCUCAGUUCAUCCGGAAGGCAGAUAAGGAAUAGCAGAAUUUUCAGUCAGUAGUAGUGCGGGUAAGCAGUGUAUGGUGGAAUUCAGUUAGUUGUAUCGAGGGGUGCUCGACACCAAGUUUUGACAGAGAGGAGUGUCAGUGGUUACUGGCGGUGAUGACCUGUACUGGAAGUAGCGGGGGUGAUGGAGUUGGCGAAGGAUAUGACCUUCACAGUGACAGAGGAAAUAGUUGGUUAUGGAGCAUUGCCUUGGGAAGGCAAGGAAUUCGCACAAGGAAAGAAGGGGUGAACCCCUAUAGGUUCAGUACAGUACUCGGUGAGUACCGGAAGGAUUGUCGGUUGAGUAAGUUGUGUUUCCAGGAUGUUCAGGGUCAGGGUGACCUGAGUCUAUUAUCCGCAAGGAAUGAUGUUAGUCAGAAUGACCGGGCGGAAGACCAGCGAAGGUAGGCAGCUGGUGUUGGAAUGAUUAGUUGGGUAUUGAAAGCAUAUCGCAGGCAGUGGCCCAUAGCAAACUUCGAGGAUGAAGUUUAGUUUAAGUGGGGGAGAGUUGUAACACCCAAAGUCAGAAAGGCCAAGAAAGGAAAGGAAACCCUAAGUCUAAGGGAUGACUCAGUAAGUCCAAGGAGGAACUCGGCGAGUCCGAGCGGGAUCCGGGUCGAGGAAUAAGUGAACGACUCGGCGAGUCGGCCAAGGAGACUCGGUGAGUCUGGUCUGUACGAGGAAAUCCCUAAAUUUGGGACUUGGAGCCUAUUUAAGCGCCUCAUUCUCUUCCCUAGGGUUCCUCUACUGCCUCUCUAACCCAGAACACCAAACCCUAGCCGCCAUAUCCGUUGUUGAGCCAAUUAUUGCUUUGAAGAGUGCAUUAAAGCUUGGAGAAGGAAGAAGGGCCUUGGAGGUGCAAGAAGGAGCUAUAGAUCUGGGCUUGGGAAGAUAUUUCUGAACAUUUAAAGGUAAUAAACUAGUUCUUGGAAUCCUUUGCACCAAGAUCUAUGUUGAGUUUUGGGGCUUUUGGCCAUGAUUGGUAUCCAUUUGAGUUAGAAGCCAGAUCUAAAGUUGGAACUUCGGAUCUAAGCAUAUUUUGGCCUUGUGAAGCAUAAAGUAUCAGCCCUUGAGUUGAUUAUGGAGCCUCUUUGCAUUAAACCCUAUUUUAUGGUGUGUUUAGCCUAGAUCUCCUUCUCUACACGUAAAGUUUGCAACUUUACGUGAGGAAUAGGCUUGGGAAGGGUAGAUCUACAGUUUGGGGUCCAUGCAUGACUCAAAAGUCCUCUACAUGUAUGUAGAUCUGAAUGGACUCGACGAUUCCUUUGAGUGGACUCGGCGAGUAGCAUGAAGAUUAGGAGGAAUUUGACGAGUGGGAUAAACAGCUCGUCGAGUCAGAUGAAGUUGGGCAGGAACUCGGCGAGUUGGAAGAACAACUCGGCGAGUCAGUUGAAGAUUGCCUUGGACUUGGCGAGUCUGUUCUUGGACUCGGCGAUUCAGGUCACGAAACCCCAAACCCUUCGAGUUGAGACUCGAAUCAGUGAGUCGAGUGGAGACUCGGUGAGUUGGACAGGUCAGGACUCGGAAAUCGGUAGACUCGGCGAGUCGAGUCGCGAUUGGAAGGACUUUGAGCAUAUGAACUCGGCGAGUCAAUAGGUAGACUCGGCGAGUAGGGUUGACCUAGAAGAUUGACUUUGACCAGGACUUUGACUUUGACCAGAGUUGACUUAGUUGACUGUUGGGGGUCAGUUAGUCUAAGUGUUUCAUUGAUAUUGGUAGCUCGGGGAGCUAGUGGAGCAGGAGUUCAGAGAGUUUCUGGGCAGCAUCCAGAAGGUUAUCAGCAUGUUCAGCAAGUGCAUGUGAGUUUCCCUUUGUGCCAAUGGGUCUACGGUCACAAUGUCGGCCCAUGUAGUUAUGAGUAGNGGAAGGUUGACUUUGACCAGGACUUUGACUUUGACCAGAGUUGACUUAGUUGACUGUUGGGGGUCAGUUAGUCUAAGUGUUUCAUUGAUAUUGGUAGCUCGGGGAGCUAGUGGAGCAGGAGUUCAGAGAGUUUCUGGGCAGCAUCCAGAAGGUUAUCAGCAUGUUCAGCAAGUGCAUGUGAGUUUCCCUUUGUGCCAAUGGGUCUACGGUCACAAUGUCGGCCCAUGUAGUUAUGAGUAGAAGACCCGGGGGUUAGCCCUAGGCACAGUAUGCUAGUAUGAUAUUCGGGACGAGGUCCAAUGAUAGAGGGCGGGUGCCCAAGGAAUGGUUUAUGUGAUAGUUUAUACUUGUUGUCUGUGUGAUACUUGUAUGUGCCUGGUAGGGAGGUGAGUGUGGGCGAGGUCCCGUAUCUCACCAAUAGCAGAGUGUGGAUGGUGUUCCACAUCUCAGUAGCAGCAGAUCAGGGGCGAGGCCCAAGUUAGGGAAGGAGUGAGGGUGGGCUGGGCCCGUACCUCACUAUCAGCAGGAGUAUGGACGGGGUUCCAUGACUCAUCAGUAGCAGGACAAGGGCGGGGCCCAGAGAUAGGCGAGGCCUUAGGACAAGAUCCGUUAGUAUGUGUUUAGCUUAGGUUAUGUGAUGUGAUAUGUUUAUGUGCUAUUAUAUGUUAGUGGGCGAGGCCCUGUGACAGGCGAGGCCUAAGUGAAACAGAUCUGUAUCCGAGCGGGGCUCGAAGCCAGGCGGGGCCUGGAACGGUGAGGCCGUUAUAGCGGGCGAGGCCCGAGGUAGGGGCGAGGCCCAGGUUAGCGGGCGUGGCCCAGUAUGUGCAGUAUAUGGUUAUGCAUGGUAUGUGGUAGGGUGGGGAACUCACUAAGCUUCGUGCUUACGGUUUUCAGUUUUGGUUUCAGGUACUUCCGGUAGCGGAGGGAAGAGCUCGGGGGUGAUCGCAUGACACACACCAUAGAUUAGACAACCUGGGAAUGUUUUACUCUGAUAAUGAACAUGUGUUUUGGAAAAUUAAUACUCUGAUUAUGUUUUGAAUUGGUGACCUUGCUUAAAGAAAUGUUUUAUUAAAAGAAAUUUUUAGUCAUGAAUUUUGGGACGUUACAAAGUACAUUAAUCCUUGGUACAAAUAUUACAUCAACAAAAGUUAUCUCUAAGCUUUCAUGAAAUUGAAGACCUUAUGCCUAACACAACCAUUGUAUCUAGAUAAGAUUUUCCUACUUAUUUACUUUGUUGUGUGCAAAUAUUAAUACACUUGACUUAAGCAUCACCAACAUUUGGACAUAAUUGUUGACGUUGAGGUGGUUGGUUAGAGCAUUAGUCAACUUUAAUAUUCAAGUGAAGACGUAUCAAAUACAAGUGAUUGUAGUUCACUCCUAUAGCAACAAGAGGAGCAGAGGCUUUAAGUAGUUUAUCCAUUUCAACAUGAAACUCUUUUCACACAUGAACGAUCUUAUGACACCUGUCAAAUGCCUCUUAAAAUAUACAAUCAACACUUGGUCAGUAGCUUUCUUCUCUGUGGCCAGAACCAUGACCUCUUCAUUUCCCUAUAUUAAUGAUGACAGGUUCAUAAACUAAAAGGACUGUAAAGUCAAAAUAGUUGACAUUAUGUUGACAUACCUAGUGGUGUGAAGAGAAGAAUAAAUAGAAUGUUUGUAAUAAACCCGCUUUCUUGGGUGAGGAAACCAUGACACUUGUUCAGAAAUGAAACAUCCCAACUAGCACCUAACGACUUUUGCUACAUUGAGAUAUACUAGCAAACAACAUAAGCAAAUCACAUGGAAAAUUAUUACAAUUAAUAAAACUCAUAAAUAAAGUGGUAAAAACAGCCUUGCACACACUCUUGAUUAAAAAAAUAGUUUAUAUUAGUGUAACAUCCCGAUUUCUCGAUAUCAGUUUAAAGUUCUAGAGUCAUGUUUCAAAGACAACUCGACGAGUUGAUAGGCCAACUCGUUGAGUAGUGACCAAAUCAGCCAUGUGGAUUUUAGACCCUACUCGUCGAGUUGGAGGACCCGACUCGACGAGUAGGUGCUGGAAAGUGAAAACCAUAAUUUUUAGGGUUUGCACCCUAUUUAAAGGUCCUUAACUUUCCUCCUCAGCCUCCCUUGUCACCUUCACGUCCAAAAAAACCAACUAGUCUCUAUUCUUGAGUGUGUGAGACCAAAAGAGAGUGUAUUGGAGCAUUCUUAAGGAGUUAAGAGCUUUGAACAAGGGAUAGCUUGUAGAUCCAACUUUUCCAGUGUUGUGACAACAAUAUUGAGUUAUAAAGCUACCACCUUUAUAUUUCAUUGCUUAGAUCUUCCUUUUUGGUAAAGUAAUUGUCAUGUCUAGGGCAUGAUGGGGUCACACUCGGAUUUAAGCUUGCCACAAGGGCAUAGUUUUAGAACUUGACUUCUUAAGGCCUUAUGAACAUAAAUCCUUAAGCUUUAUGAAGCCCUAGCCCUCCUUCAUGUCCAAAACCUUCUCCUAAUGCUAAUUAUGAGUGUUUUAGCUUCAUAGAACCAUGCAUGCAUGUAAAGUUAGCAACUUUAUGUGAUAACAACACCCUAGGAGCAUAGAUCUACUGUUUGGAGCUUUGGAGCAGCUUAAAAUAGUCUGAAUGAGUGAUGGACUGAAGGAGACUCGACGAGUUUCAUGGUUGAAUCGAAGAGUCGGUUGAAGAUUGCCCAUAAUGGUUUUGCAUGGACUCGGCAAGUCAGUAAGAAGACUCGACGAGUCAGUUAGGGUUCUUCCUGACAUUUAGACACGCGUAGACUCGCCGAGUUGGUGGGGAAACUCUGCGAGUUGGCCCAGGGAUUUCACGGUUUUCUGAGUUUUGGAGGAACUCGAUAGGUCAGUAGUUGGACUCGACGAGUUGGGUCAACAUGGACUGUUGACCUUGACUGUUGACUUGGAGUUUGACCAGGGUUAACCAUGUUUGACUUUGGAGGGUAUUUGGUAAAUGGGUAUUUAAGGAAAUGGAUCAUGGGUGGAUAUAGGUAAUGGAGUUUGGGGCAGUAUUUUGAGAGCGUGAUUUCGUGGUUUAGUUCGGCAUUGCAAGGUGAGUUAUCCUCACUAUAUCAACAGGGUCUAAGGCACCAAGGUCAGCCCUUUAUCUGAUUUGUAUUCGGGUAUUUGCUUGAUAUGUUUUUUGAUCUGCUAGAUCUGCAUCCUGGUAGUUAGGAUGGUAUUAUGUUUAGUGACCUGGUUUAGGUCAGUAUCCUGGUAUAUGGGAUGAUGUUAUGUUAGUGACCGGUUAGGUCGGUAUCCUGGUUAUAGGACGGUUGUUGUGUUAGUAAUCAGUUAGUUUGGUAUGAUUAUCUGUUGUAUACAUGCUCGCGUAUAAUAUUUAUGUGCACAUGAUUGUUUGAUUGUUAUGGGGGUUGGGUUGAGGCGGGUCCUGCUUCGUGUUGUAGGCCAACAUACCCAUGGCGGACCGGAAAGACUACAGGCCCAGGAAGGCACAUUGUCCAACCAAUGGCCCAACGAGCGGUCCGGAUAGGCUGAAGGCCCCGAGAGGGUGGUCCAAACGUGCCGAGGCUCGGAGAGUGGGCCAGGUGGACUGAAGGCCCGGUGCGGGCGGUCCAGUCAUACUGUAGACUCAAAGAGUGGACCAGGUGGACUGAAGACCCAGUGCGGGUGGACCAGUCACACAGUAGACUCGGGAUGCAUGGCUGUUCAGUGUUUGUUAUAUGAUAUGAUUAUGGAUUGUAUGAGGUUGGUAUUUUGGGGGUAACUCACUAAGCCUUCGAGCUUACGUUUAUCAAUUUAUGUUUCAGGUACAACGAAUUAACCCAGGAAGACGAAUGUGUGAUCGUACACUUCCCCAUAAUAUGUUUUGGAUUUUCUGGGAUACUCUGAUGUGAAACUAUUUUGGAAACCUUUUUGUAAUAACUAUUGGCAUUUGAAAUGUUUUUAAAAGUUUAAAUUUGGCUUGGAUUUUAUGGGUGUUACAAUUAUUUCAAUUAUCCAAGACGAUUUUAUGUCGAGAUUUUAAGUUAACAUUAAAUCUCAAUUAUUUGUUUGAAUGAUUUUUUUCUUUUAUCUUAGAGAUUUGUUUGAAAUUUAUUAAUUUUUUUUAUAAAUUUGAAUUAAUCAAAGACACAUAUAAAAAUAUCUCAUCAAAUCAAAUAAAUUUAAUAUAUAAAAAAGAUAGUAUCCGAUUAAGUCAAUCUAAAAAUACCAACAUAUAAAUAUAACUCACAAAUCUUGAUGGGAAUAAGAAUCAAACUCAAAAUCAAUCAAAUAAAAAAACCUUUGAUUUGUGUUAUAAGUAUAAAAUAAAUCAGGAUUCCAAAUAAAUAUUACAAUGAAAAAAAACCUAAAAUGUUUGAAACAAAAUAUGAAAUUCGCCAUCACUGUCAAUUUAAAAAAAAAACCUUUAUUAAUACUAAUGGGCUAUUUGGUAGCAUCCUGAUGAAUCAUAUCUGAAUGAUCUAGAUGCCUGGAUGAUCUAGAUGCUCUUUAGGAAUUUCUAUCGGAAUGAUAAAAUAAUGUUUGGUUAGGCAUCUAAAUAUCUGCCUCUUAAUGAGGAAAAUAACCAUUUUAGCCCUCUAAAUUAUUUUUUGAAUACAAAAUAAACAUUAUACAAUAUCCAACAAAUCGGUUAAAACAAAUUGGCUUUUGAUAUUCAGAUUCAUGUGUUUCUUCAUCAACAAUCUCUUUGAAGAGGACUCGUUUUGUUUCUGUUUUUAGAUCAUUAGGCUUUCUUGCUUCUGGAACAUUGAUGGGCCUAUUUUCUUGCUGAAUAUCUUCCAUCACUAGCAACUUCAUCUUGCUCCUAGAUCACAUAUCAACUAAACAAGUUGAAAAAUAACCAAACACAUAUUUUCAUAUAGAACAUUUCAAGCAAACACAAACACAUUUUCAAAAAAAAAAAAACAAAUCAAUUGUUAUUUUCAGAUUUCCAAAGGACAAAAACAACAUCAACUGAACACAUAUAUAGAGCAAGAAGAACAAAGCACAAAAAUCGAUUUCAUACAAAAUCGAGCAGCAAGAACACGAUUGACACCAAUUUCAUGCAAAAUUGCUCAACAAUAACACGAUUGAAGCAACAGAUUCGAGAAAAAAAACCAUACCUGAAAACUUACCGACGACGAGUAGGCGGAGAAGUAGGAGCGUUGUCGAAGGCAUGCAAGGGGAGGCGGCGACGGAGCCAAUAAUUGGAAGUUGUCAACGCUUAAUGAAGAUAAAGAAUGAGGGAUGAAAGGUCGAUCUCUAGAAAGAAGGAGAAGAAAAAAGAGUCGGCCGCAAUUUGUUGUUAGGGCAAUGGUAGAAGAUGAAAAUUUUUUUAUUCAGACUUCUCCUCAUAUCUUAACGAAUCAGAUUAGUUUUAGCUACAUCUGACCGAUUAAGAGCGUAAAAAUGUUUCAACCAAACACUCUGAAUCUUAAUGAUCCAAAUGCAACCUCUUAAUGAGACCAUUAAGAGGCAAAACAAACAGCCCCUAAAUAAAAAAAACAAUAUAGUUUCCAUAAAAAUCGAUUUAAAUAUUAAAGAAGAGAAGAAAUCAGCAUUUAUACGACGUAAUAGUUUUUUAAAAUUAAAAAAAAAAAAUUAUUCAUAUUAUAAGUAUAAAAUACAUUUUAUUCUUAACUCUCAUUUGUAAUUUGCCAUAUGUUUUCAUAAGAGUUUAUGGUAAUAACUUAAAUUUUUAUUUUUCCAUAUACCAUUUUUCAUUUACAAAAUUGUUUGUGCUUAUUUUUUUUUGUUAUAUUAAAAUUUAUUAUAUUUUAUUAUAUAAUAUAUAUCAUAAUUUUUUUCAUUAAUUUACAUAUAUCUUAUUUUUACGUGUUUAUUUGAAACAAUCGUUAUAAUGCAAAAUAAAUACCACUUCUCCAUAUUAAUUAUUAAUUUUUAUUAAAAUACUUUAUUAAUUAUUAUAAUUUUUAUCUAUUGAUAUUCGUUUAAUUUUGUAAGUUUUAUUUUCACAAAGUAUAACCUAAUUAAUUUCUCAUCAUCUAUAGUAAAUGAAAGUUUUUUUUUUCACAUGCAAUCACUAAUUAAUUUUGACACUUGUCAUUUUAUAAUAUUUUUUAAAUAAAUAAUAUCCACAUAUCAAUUUAUGAUUUUUNNNNNNNNNNNNNNNNNNNNNNNNNNNNNNNNNNNNNNNNNNNNNNNNNNNNNNNNNNNNNNNNNNNNNNNNNNNNNNNNNNNNNNNNNNNNNNNNNNNNNNNNNNNNNNNNNNNNNNNNNNNNNNNNNNNNNNNNNNNNNNNNNNNNNNNNNNNNNNNNNNNNNNNNNNNNNNNNNNAUCAAAUGUAAUAAAUAUUAUUUUAAAAUUUCAUUUUAAAAAAUAUUUAUUAUUACAUUUUAAUAUUUUAUAUUCUUUAAUCAACCGUGUAAUACAUUUUAAUACAUAGAUUUUCCAUCUAAUAAAUAAAUAAAAUGUAACCAUUUUAAUCACUAAAUAAUUAAUCAACCAAAGAUUAAAACCCACUGAUAAAAAGGAAACUAAAUCAACACCAAAUUGAAAAUUAAACCAUAUAUUACUAAAUUAAUUCACAGAGAGUUCGACAUCAAUCAAAUAUUAUCUCGCACUCAAAUUCACAAAACUCACUUUCCAGGUACAAAGUUUGUAGCAUAUGACCAUGCAUUGUUUGCAACAGGGUCAGCAAGGUGGUCAGCGAGGUUCUCCAAUGGUCCCUUUCCGGUAACAAUGGCUUGAACAAAGAAUCCAAACAUAGAGAACAUGGCUAGUCUACCGUUCUUGAGCUCCUUCACUUUCAGCUCAGCAAAUGCCUCUGGGUCAUCAGCCAGACCCAAUGGGUCGAAGCUACCACCAGGGUAAAGUGGGUCAACUACCUCACCAAGAGGUCCACCAGCAAUUCUGUAACCUUCAACUGCACCCAUCAAGAUCACUUGGGUAGCCCAGAUGGCUAAAAUGCUUUGUGCAUGGAUCAAACUUGGGUUCCCCAAGUAGUCAAGACCACCCUCACUAAAGAUCUGGGAUCCAGCCUUGAACCAUACAGCCUCACCAAACUUGACACCAUUACGCGCCAAGAGUUCGGGGAAGACGCACCCAAGAGCUCCGAGCAUGGCCCAUCUGCUGUGGAUGACCUCAAGCUCACGGUUCUUGGCGAAUGUUUCAGGAUCAGCAGAGAGCCCAGCAGUGUCCCAACCGUAGUCACCGGGGAACUCACCGGUCAGGUAAGAUGGGGCUUCGCCGGAGAAUGGGCCAAGGUACUUAACACGGUCGGGGCCGUACCAUGGACUUCCUGAUGGUGCGACUUUCUUGACUGCUGUCUUCCUCAUGGAAACCCUUCCAUUUCCGAUUAUUUCUGAACCAGAUGGUGCUGCUUUCACUGCCUGUCCGACGAAAGAAGAAGAUAGAGCCAUGGUGGAAGCUGCCAUUUUUGUGAGAUUUAUUUUGAAGAUGUUGUGAUGGUUAUACUUAUGAAGAUGGGUAGAACUGGAAGUAGAUUUAUAGGGUAGUUUUUGGAUCAGAUAGGUGAUCAAUGCUUAUCUUGAUACAAUCUUUAGCUUCAAUUUGAUUGGCUACAGAGAUUCUUGUGGGUCCGUAAUCUGUGGUGUGAGUUCUCUGGCCCCCCUGAGAUAUUUUGAAGGGGCAGGAUAUUCGUGGCUCUGGUUUAUUGAGCCAAUGACUGGCUUUCACUCACUACUCUUAGUGGUGGUUUUUUAUAAUAUGCUGUAAGCUUGUAACCAUCCAAUCGUCUAAGUUUAUAACUGACCUAUUAUUACAAAUAUAUACUAACCAGGCAAAACUUUUGGUUAUAAAAGUUAAUGUGACCGAGAGACUAACACAAAAAAUUAUAACAGGAGUAGUUAAUAAUCCGCGAUUUACCGCUAUGCCGAGAGCCGUAGGGAGGAUCCACCAUUUACCCCUAAGUGUGCAGAAUGCCUUUUUUUUUUUAGUAUUAAAAUAUCAAGAUCGGACACGCGUUGUAAAAUUCUUGUUCGAAUUGUUUGCAAACUCUUCGUCACAAUAAGGGGAGUUUAAAUAUGCGUUUUAAUAUAAUAACAUUGGCAUUGAUUAAAUGUUAAUAUUCAAUUAUCAUCCCACAUGAGAAUGAAAUAUAUUAAUGAUUUAUUAAUCUAAAAACAUUAUCAUCCCACAUGAGAAUGAAAUAUAUUAAUGAUUUAUUAAUCUAAAAACAAUUUUUUUAUGUCAUUAUUUUUUGGGGUUACAGUCGAGCUUGGAGGAUCUCGACUUUAGGUAUGCCCAUUUUAUUGAGAGGAAUUACUAAUAAAUUUCGGAAAGAGGAAAAAAAUAUGAUCGUGGACAUAUGGUUUAGGAAUAUUUUCAUGUUCGUUUGACACAAGUAAAGUUCUUGAAAUGGGUGCUUCAGUUUGUACGAGCGGCUAACUUGAUAAAGUUCAAAGACAUAAAGGCAAUUUUCAAAAACUCACAUGAUCAGUUAUCGAACAAGCAUGUCGUACUAGUGUGCCCACUACACAUGUUAGUUAGCGGUUUCAAUAGGAAAAGAGCAUCAUUAGCUGUCAAUGAUAAUAUUCUUUCUCUAGUACUCGAUCCUUACGACUUUUAUAUUUAUAUCAUGUAAUUUAGAAUUUAAUUUAAUUUCUAUUAAUCUUCGAUUACAGUUUAUGUGAUCUAAUUCAUGGAUGUUUUGGCACUACAUAUCUCAAUGGAGUAUGCCAGGGAAAUUUUGGUCAUAACAACAGCCUCCAUGGGUUUAUAUAUAUUUUUAAGGUACAUAUAACAUCCUAUUUUUAGGCUUAGAAAUUUUGGUCAUUUAUAGUGAAAAUAAUUUUUUUUAAUAAAAAAAUAAAAAAGGAAAAAUAAAAAUAAAAAGAAUGACUGAAUGAAUACAUGAGCUAAUAAAAGGUUUAGAUCAAAUGUUUAAAGAAAAUAGCGAAUUUAUACUUAAAAUAGGAAAUAAAUAAGGAAGGGUCAGUGGUGGCAACUUUGGAAAACUUGUUUAAUUUAGAUCUAACUAGACAAUUUAUUUGUAAAGAGUUAAAAAUGUAACGAAAUGAUACUUAUAAGCUUAAGAGGGAGUUUUUCAGUUGGAAAUGUUGUUAGAAACCCUUAUUGGAAAAAAUUAGGACAAAAGGACUAAAAUUGUCAAGUUGAUGAAACUUGUGUUAACCUUAAUGUAACGACCCUAAAAUCUUAAAUUAUGUGUUUAAUUACUUUGUAUCAUUUUGUUGAAAAAUGAACAUUAAUGAUGCAAUAAUCAAUUUGUUAGUAAAUUUCAUUGUAUAUCCUUACAUUUAUCAUGUUAUAAUCGAAAAUAUAGGACAUUUCAGCAAAAAAUAACCCUGUAGGAAAGUCGCAUUACACCUCGAUAUAUUCGUGUGGAUAUAAAUUCUAUGAAAAUCCAAAUUUGUAUGACGAAGUUAUAGUCAAUAUAAGUUGGAAGUACAAAUUUUAAUGUUUAAAUGUGUAUGUUNNNNNNNNNNNNNNNNNNNNNNNNNNNNNNNNNNNNNNNNNNNNNNNNNNNNNNNNNNNNNNNUAUAUAUAUAUAUAUAUAACAUCUCAAAACCAUAAUAACCAUAACAUAAAAUCAGAGUUUCAAAACAUAUUAUCUCUCUAAACCAUAACAAUCACUGGAUGAUGUGUAGAGUCACGUGUAACAUCUCGUUUAAAAUUAGAUAAAUAAAAUAAAAUAAGUAAAUAAAUUAGAUAAAAUAAGUAAAUAAAUAAUAAACCCUAAAACCUCAAGAUGAAUUUUAUAUUUUUAUGUUAGCCUUAAAUCCAUAAUAAUUAUCAGAGUAUUAGCGCAAUAAGUUAAAUGUUAUUAAUUCUGGAAAUAGGGGUUUAAAAUGUAAAUUUCGAACUAGUUAAGAAUAGAUUUGUGGAAGCUGGGGAUUGUUUGGUAAUUUGGACUUGAAUUGAAAGGAUUAUUGGAAACAGGUAUAGAGUAAAUUACAGAUUUAAUUUGUAAAGGAAUUGAGAUGGAGGGACUGAAAAUAUAAGAAAGGGACUAAUGUUUGAAGAGAUAGGCAUGACUUAAACCCAUUCCCCCUCCACCCUCUUGCUACUCGGUUGCACCCAUAUAAACCCUAACCCUAAUAUCUUCUCAGCCGCCACCUUAUCCCUCCAUAUCUCCAGUCGCUUCCAUCACCUGUGUCGCCGUCAUGAACCACUGAGCACCACUGCCGCUGCUCCCACUGCCGAUGAAAACGAAGAUCAACGUUUGGACACCGUGACAGUGGGGAAGUAGGAAGAAAGGAAGCUCGUGGUUGUUAUUGCUGUUAUUCUCGGUUAGGGGUCGCAAAACCUUUCUCUUCUCCGUUUCCUUUUGUUGCUACGUUGUCAUCGUCAUCGCUCCAUGUGAGGGUGGUUGUGUUUGUGUUUUGUGAGUGUAGGUGUGUGUUGCUGCUGUGGCAAGUUGGAGAGGUGUGUGUGUCUUUUGUUGGCCAGAAAAACGAAGAGAAUCACCAUGGCAACCAACCAUGGUGGUUUUCACCGUUCUGGAGCCACUAGCCACCACCCUAGGUGGCUGUGUGUGUUGGAUUGACAUUUCUUCUGUACCAGGAUGCUUUUGAUAGUGUUUGGCCUAAAAUUAUAACUACCACCAUUAAAAAGUGGUGGCUGUCGCCUCCUACCGCCAUGGACCGCCGCCGACCACCAAUGCCCGAGGUGGCAGUGGGUGGUGUCUGACUUACUAAACAUUAAAUAACCUAAACAUCUAACCUUAGACCGAGUGGUACGUGUUUGGGUUGGAAACUCUUACUAGGCUUUAGAAAAUCCUAAGGUCAAGAAAACCCUAGUUUUGGAGUUUUGUCGGGACCCGCGUUGAAGUGUUAAUUGAACUUUAAUUAUACUCGAUAAGGCCCUACGAUUAACUUAAUGCAGUAUUGAACUUAAUGAAUUAAGUCCUUAAGGGGUUAUGUGUGGAGCACUAACCCUAGUUAUCAUUUUAUGUGGAAACCCUAAAAAUCAAGAAGCCUUAUUUUCGGCAAUGAUCAGGGCACAUAUUUGGGAUAUUCCUUGGAUUAUUAUUAUACCCGAGAAUGAAUAUGUCAAACCUUAAUCACUCCUACUUUUAUUUGAUUAAGUCCUUAAUGGGUUAAGUGUCCUUACUUAACCCUAAUCGUCAUUUUAUGUGGAACCCUAAUCACUAUUUCAUGUGAGGUAGUCACUGCUGCAAUUGACGAUGACUUGUGAUCGAGUAUUGAAUCAAGUAUCUUCCUGUAGGUGAUUGGAAGUGAGUUGAAGCUGGUAGAGUUCUUCGUUACUACGGUGGUUACCUACUAGCAUAUCGAGCUGAGUUUCACCUCACUGUGUUAGAUCUAUAUGCACAAGAAUCAUUAUUCAGUGACAUUGCUAAUAACAUAUGAUCCUAUAAGGUCACACUUUAAUCAAGUUGGUACUUAUUGAAUAUUUAUUAAGUAUUUUAUAAUUAAUAAUAAAAGUUCAACUCAUGUAUUUAAUUAAAGAAAAUUUAUUGUUUUGUGAAAAUAAUAAUAAAUGAAAGACUAACUANAUAUAUAUAUAUAUAUAUAUAUAUAUAUAUAUAUAUAUAUAUAAGUCAUGUACAAAGUUUUGGACACUUUCACCAAAGAUUGACAAACUAGCUAGUUAAUUAAGUGACUAAACAAUAAACUAGAAAAUCCAAUGGACCAUUUUAGUCCUUAAAACCAUGGGUUAUCAAGGCGAGGAGGUUGAAAGUCAACCUCCAACAUUCUUGUCCCCCAUGUUUGUUCAUUACCUUGCAUGUAAUACACACCAUGAUCAUAUUAUAUAAGGCUAGUUGUUUUAUCACUAUAUGACUAGAAGAAAAAAAUCAUUUACACUUUCAUCCAUAGAAUUGUAGGUUCUCUUGGCUUCUCCCUAUCUCUCACUUGAAGUUAGUUCUUGGUUUUUUAGAGUUCGUCUUUUGUGUCUUCCUUUUACACUUAUUAUCUAUGUGCUUAAGGCUUAAAGAGAAAAAUAUUAUACAAGAAGAAAUCUAGCAAUUUUGGUACCUUAUUCUUGUUGGUGGAUUACUUGUAGAGAAGAUCAGACUUGUUGUUCUUGCCAUCUACUUCAACACCCCAAAUCUAAGAGGGUCCAAAGUCUACGAAGGUUGUAUUUUCUAAACUCCCUAUGGUUGUUAUAAUAUCAUUCUAAGCACUUUAAAAGGAUCCUUGAUGGUUUGUUUUGUUUUCAAAUUUAUAAGAAAUUUUUAAAGCUUCCGUUGCCAGUUUUUGUGAAAAACUAUUUAUUUUAUGCAACAAACCCCUUCAGUUGUAACACUAUAAAUUUUCAAACAAAAUUUCCAUUUUUAAAACACACAAAUCUUAAAAUCACAUUUCUCAAAAAUCACAAAUGUAUCAAUUGUAAGAAUAUCCCAGAACCCUCAAACAUAAUCUCGAACAGGUGUGUACAAUCAAGUCGGCGCCUUACCGUGAUUCUGAGAAGUACCUGAAACACAUAACACACAACAUAGUAAAAACGAAGCUUAGUGAGUUCCCCAAAAUACCACAUACACAAAUAAUAAGCCACUCAUAGCUAUAGCUCGGCAUGGACCUUCCAGUCAUGCGUCUCGGUGAGGACCCUCCGGUCUCACGGCUCGGUGUGGACCCUCCGGUCAUGUGUCUCAGUGAAGACCCUCAGGUUUCACAGCUCGAGUUGGACCCUCCAGUCCUGUAUCUUAGUGAAGACCCUCCAGUCUCACAACUCGGUUUGGACCCUCCGGUCCUAACUCAGUAAGGCACAAAAUAAUAUAGCAUAUAUGACAAAGACAAAAUGCAUAAUAUCACAUAACUCAGUAUAAGCACAUAGGACCAUCCGGUCGAUAACUCAAAUAAGACCCUCUGUUCACAUAGUAUUACCACUCAGGUAAGUAUAGUGAUAAGACUCGUCUCGGAAGUAAGCAAAUAGAUCUAGUACCCCACGAACAGUUUAGACUCCGCCUACAUAAUAUAAUUAUCUCUAAUAAGCAAUUUGUAAUAACCAUUCCGAGAUGUUAAGCUAGCUCCCCCACUAAAUCUCAAAAAUGGUGAAAAUACCAUUUUACCCCUCCAUGGUCUCUAAGGUCCACAGUUGACCAAACCCUAAAACUCAACGUAAGUCAACGCUCAAGUCAACAGUCCAUGUUGACUAAACUCGUCGAAUGCAUCCAUGCGACUCGUUGAGUACCGUCGUUUUCUCUGAAGUAUCGGGAAAAUCCAACUCAACUCGUCGAGUUGUCUCAUCAACUCGCUGAGUUGUAACGCAUUUAGACUAUCAGGGAAAACCCUAGCUGACUAGUCGAGUUGUCUCAUGCACUCGUCGAGUCCCUCUAUACAAAUUCUCAUUUAGACUAUUCUAAGCAGGAAUAAGGUCCCAAACUCUAGAUCUAGCCUCCCAAGGCUGAAAUACCAUGUAAAGCUGCAAGCUUUACGUCUAUGCAUGGAAUCUAGCGCUCAAAAUGCUAAAACAAGCUCUAUAUAGGGUUUAAUGCAUAAAAUCUUGCCACUAGCUUGAUAAAGCUUGGACCUUUGGGCUCAAGGGACCUCAUAUUGUCCAUAUCUGAAGUCUCAAAUUCAUGGCAGGCUCAAACAACUCAAGUACUCAAAGAAGGAUGGAAAAAGGCCCUAAAACUCCUUAGAAAAGAGAUCUAACCAAAUAAUGAUCAAGGUGGUAACUUUUUACCUUCAAACAGAAGCUAGAAAUGAAUAAGCACCAGAUCCAAGAGCUCCCUCUCGUCCCAAGCCUUUUGUUCCUCAAUCUUUCUCCAAAAAUGCACCAAAAUACACAAUAUUAUCCUCUCCUUCUCUCACACAUAGAUAUAGCUCGAUUAGGGUUUCUCUCAGAGUUUUAGGAUGAUAAGGGAGGAUGAAAUGAAGGCUUAAGGUCCUUUAAAUAGGACACAAACCCUGAAAAUUGGGGUUUUCUCACUCUGCUCCUACUCGUCGAGUUGGGGUCCUCCAACUCGUCGAGUAGACUCUAAAAAUCACGCAACCUUUAACUCCUCUACUCGGCGAGUUGGGGCAUCCAACUCGUCGAGUUGCUCUGACAUCAUAAAUGCAAAUUUAUUAAAUGUUAUAUAUGGGAGCAGGAUGGUACAUGUAACGACCCAAUUUUCAUGACCAAAAAUUUUGUUUUAAAAACAUUACUUUAGAAAAUAUUAAAAGCUAAAAACAUUGUCGGAUCAAAUCAUAACACAAGUGAACCAUGUCUAAAAGCCAAUUCAUACAUUCAAUCAAAAUAUCAGAGUACAAAUCCCAGUGAAGCUCGUAAAUGCGGAAACCGGAGAGUGUGUGUGUGACAUGCUGCUACCGCGCCGGCUCCUUUCCCCUAGCUGAGGAGGUACCUGAAACCAAAACUGAAGACUGUAAGCACAAAGCUUAGUGAGUCCCCCCGUCGUACCACAUACCAUACAAACACGUAACAUACAUACUGUCAGGCUAUUCUGGGGUGCCUGACUACCCGGUACGGCCGUUCUGGGGUGCCGUCCUACCCGUGUCAAGCCAUUCUGGGGUGCUGACUACCCGUGUCAAGCCAUUCUGGGGUGCUGACUACCCAUGUCAAGCCAUUCUGGGGUGCUGACUACCCAUCGGUCCUAACAACCGAUCCUCGGGGACUAGUCCCCUCUUACUACCUUUAUCUCAUAUAACAUAACAAGCCAGCAUGCAAUCAUAUCAUCACGUACUGUCAGACAUAUCUGGGGUGUCCGACCUACCCUUCGGUCCUAACAACCGAACUCUACAACUAUCACAUAUACAUAUCAUGCCAGCAUAUAACAUAUCAGGUAGUAGCAAACCUAGAUGAUAUCACAAAGACAAUCAUCUAACAUACAACUCCUACUGGUGGGCCGGCAUUGUGGCCGUAGACCCACCGCUACUGGAAGGUAACUCACCUCGAAGUAGCUGCUGAUCUGAUCGGGAACUGACUGCCUACUGCUGCUGCUGCUGCUCCGGAAAUCCUCCGGCUGCAAUUCCCACAACAUACUCAAUCAAACACUGCUCACUGACCUUUGGGUAAAAUGACCAUUUUACCCCUGAUCAUGCCCUAAGUCAAAGUCAGAGUCAACUUUCAGUUGACCCGACUCGCCGAGUUGGCUUUCCAACUCGCCGAGUCCCUACCCAAACGACUGCCCUGAAACCCGAUCCUACCCGUCGAGUUAGGCGACGACUCGACGGGUUCACCUUCUUAACCAAUAUUCAAGUCCUUCAUUCUACUCGCCGAGUUGUAUGAACAACUCGCCGAGUUCAUCUUCAUCCGAAGAACACUUAUGCUAAGACUCGCCGAGUUGUAUGAACAACUCGCCGAGUCUGUUCUUGAUCUAAGGAGAUUGCCUUGAACUCGCCGAGUCAGGGCAUUGACUCGCCGAGUACCUCCAUAGAUGAGUUAAGCUUCCGACUCACUGAGUCACACCCCGUGACUCACUGCUCACUCGACACUACGAAAAGGGGACAAACUCGGAGACUCGCGAACAGACUCGCCGAGUCAUAUGAACGACUCGCCGAGUCGUUGCCAUGCAUCCACUAAAUACACAGAUUUGCUCGAUUCCAGUCCAUGCCAUUCAUAGAUCUGGGCUUCUAGGACACGAAUCACACGUAAAGUUUCCAACUUUACGUGUGGAUAUUCACCAAUAUGGAUUUUAGGGCUCAAAAUGUCUCAAAAGGGUAGAUCUAGGGCUAACAAGCAACAUGGGGCCAUAAAGCUAACAGAUCUGAGCUCCUGGAGCUCAAUCUUGCCUAGAUCCAGAGGCCAAACAUCUUAUUACGACAUACAAUGCACAUACAAGCUUGGGGAUUUGACCAAGAAGGACCCAAAUGAAGUUUUAAGCAUAGAAUCAAGGGGAAAACGGGUUAUACCUCAAAGGAACUGCUGGAAGAACACAAAUAAUGCCUGGAUGGCUUCCCUUCUUCUGGAUCUACUUCCUUCCUCCUUCCAAACCUUCAAAAACACACACACUAACCUCAAACUCUCAAGGAAUAGCUUAGAACGAGAGAUACAGGGCUUUAAGGGUCAAUGGGGGCCGGCUUGGGGCUGAUAAGUCCUUUAAAUAGGGUGCAAACCCCUGAAACUUAGGGUUUCAUCCAACAGCUAUGACUCGCCGAGUCCAGGAUAUGGACUCGCCGAGUCGCCAACUUAAACGUGUCCCGGGUCCCGCAUCCACUCGGCGAGUCGGACCUAUGACUCGCCGAGUCCAAGGCUAAAAGAAAGGAAAUACUCAAAUAACAUUUACGUACCAGGAACCGGGUGCUACAGUACAUCAGUUGUAUCAAAACCAUCUUUUAAAUGUUAGAAUGAUUUUUAUGUUAUGAUAAUCUUUGGUUUUUGGGAAACAAGCAUGGAUUUCUUUUUAGCUUGCAUCAUGUUAAUGAUUCGACCGAAGUGGCUUGCAUCAUGCUUGCAACUAUGACUCCUGAACUUCAAAAAACUUUUGAGUUUCAUGAAGCAUUUGAAAUGAUUGAACAACUGAGUCAUGUUUCAAGUUCAGGCUAAGCAAGAUAGGUUUGAGACCUUGAAUGCUUUCAUUGGUUGCAAGAUGGACAAAGGAUCUUUUGUGAGGUCACAUGUACUAAAAAUAAAAGCUUAUGUUGACCAACUUUCCUGCCUCAGAUUCUAAUUUGGGGAUGAGCUAAAGACCAAUGUGAUCCUGGCCUCACUGCCUAAGUCAUUCAACCAAUUUUUGAUGAACUUCACAAUGAAUUAUUAGGAGAUGAGCAUUAAUGAGCUUCAUAACUUGCUCAAAAUUGUUGUGAAAAACGUCAAGAAGUCUGGGAACAAUCAAGUGCUGAUGAUUCAUGAGGGUCUAAUCUCUAAGAAGAAAACUAGUACUAAUAUCGGUUAGGGGAAAGGAAAAGCUGCCAAGAAAGGCAAGGGCAAGGGAAAGGGUAAAGGGAAGCCUCCUUCCACUAACCCAACUCCUAAACCCAAGCCUACUGCUAAUGUUGAUUGCUUUAAAUGUAAUGAAAAUGAACAUUGGAAGCGCAACUGUCCCAAAUACCUAUAGGAACUUAAGAAGAUCAAAGCCAACUAGUUUGGCACCUCAGGUAAUAUGUGAUUGAAUUACAUGCAUUCCGUACUAAUUCUUGGGUAUUCUAUACUGGAAGUGGUACUAACAUCUGGAAUGAUUUGCAGGGACUAAGGAAUGUUAGAGAACUAAGAGAUGGCGAUUUGGAACUUCAUGUUGGCAAUGGCAAUCGAGUAGCUAUCAAAGCCAUAGGACAAUAUCAUCUUUUUCUUCCAAAUGUCCUUAAUCUUAUUUUUAACAAUUGUUGUUAUGUACCUAGUAUAACUAGGAAUAUUAUAUCUACUUCUCGCUUGUAUGAACAAGGUUGUCGUUAUAAGUUUGACUUUGAUUUUGAAAACAUUUUCGUGUUUAAGGAUAAUGUGUUCUAUUUUGAGACUAGUCCCACAAAUGGAAUAUACGAAAUCGAUUUAAAUGGUUCAUACACAAAGGAUAAUUCAAUAUUCAACUUAAAUAAGAAAACAAAGUUAGACUCAAAUAAAACUUUUUUUUGGCAUUGUCGACUUGGGCACAUAAGUAAAACUAGCAUUACUAAGCUCCAAAAGGAUGUGAUAUUAGAGUCAACAGGCUCAAAGUCUUUUGAUGUAUGUGAAUCAUGUAUAUGUGGCAAGAUGACCAAAGCUUUGUUUACCGGUGUUGGUGAAAGAGCUUCGGAUCUAUUAGGACUCAUACAUACUGAUUUAUGUGGACCUUUUAGAACAAUGACCAUAAGCGGUGAAAGAUACUUCAUUACACUUAUUGAUGAUUACAGUAGAUUUGGAUAUGUGUAUCUCAUGAAACACAAAUAUGAACAUUCAAUGUCUUCAAGGUUUUCCAAACUGAAGUACAUAAUCAACUUGGUAAAAAUAUUAAACCCAUACGAUCAGAUCGUGGUGGUGAAUAUCUGAGAUAUGAGUUUGAUGAACAUCUGAAGAAUUGCGACAUAGUGUCACAACUCACUCCACCGGGAACACCUCAGCAUAAUGGUGUCUCAGAAAUAAGAAAUCAUACUCUACUUGAUAUGGUGCGAUCAAUGAUGAGUGAUACUUCCCUUCCUCAUUUAUUUUGGGGUUAUGCCCUUGAAACCGCAGUUCGAACUGUAAACAUGGUCCCAACUAAAAAGGUUAGUAAGACUCCCUACAUGUUAUGGCAUGGAAAGGAUCCAUCAGUGUCUUUCUAAAAUAUAUGGGGUUGUGAAGCAUAUGUUAAAAGAGAAACUUCUGACAAGCUUGACCCUAGAUUUCAUAAGUGUAUCUUUGUUGGAUACCCAAAAGAAACCGGGUGUUCAUAGCUCGUAAAACAAUGUUUCAUGUAACUGAAUUUAUCUUGCAUAAAGUAAGUGGGAGCCCCCUUGACCUCGAAGAAAUUCGAGAGAAACAACCUUUAGUUGAAAACGAUAAUCAACAAAGCAUUUUUGAACAUGAACUUAUUAUUCAGAUGCCGGAAACCACACCAAUUGUACGAUGUUCCAGUAGAACUCCUCAUGAACCUGACAAAUUUGGAUUUGUCAUUCCUGAAUAGGAAGUCUUCUUGAUGGAUCAAUAUGAGCCCAUCAACUAAAAGGAUGCUACUGCAGACCCAAAGUCUAACAAAUGGCUUGAAGCCAUGAGAACUAAAAUCCAAUCCAUGAAUGACAAUCAAGUAUGGGACUUGGUUGAUUUACCUCCUAACAGUAGAGCUGUUGGAAGCAAGUGGAUCUUCAAGAAGAAGAUCUACAUGGACGGAAAUGUACUCAAAUUCAAGGUGUUGACUAUGAAGAUACCUUCUCGCCAUUUGCUAAGAUUGAAUCUAUUAGAAUUAUCAUGGCAAUAGCUGCAUAUUAUGACUAUGAGAUUUGGCAAAUGGAUGUCAAAACCACGUUCCUUAACGGAUAUCUUGAGGAAGAUGUUUUUAUGGAACAAUCUGAAGGUAUUGUCAAGCCGGAUAACCUAAAGAAGGUACGUAAACUAAAGAAGUCCAUUUAUGGAUUAAAACAAGCAUCUGGGGUGUGGUAUCAUCGUUUUGAUGAAAAGUGUUGGGUUUUGAGCAUUCUAACACUCCUAUGGUGUACAUGCAACCCUAAAUACCUUGGAUCUAUGUUUUCUCUAUUAUACAUGAAAUAUCAAUUUCCAAGGUAUUUAUCCUAACUAGCAUAUUAUGAAGUACAAGUAAUAUAGAAACUAGUAGAAAUACAUACCUCUUUGUUGGUGCUUGAUUCCAUGGAGCUCAAGAGCCUAGUGCCCCAAAUGUGACACCUCAAAUGGUUCACACAACAUCAUAUGCACGUGGAAUAACUUAGACAGAAAUCAUCACUUCAUGAAAUCGACUUGCCCUCCAUAUACACACAUAGUGGCCGAUUUUUCACAAGAAUAUGAUGCUUAUAUAGUUGUUACAAUUAGGGUAAACCCUAAUUGUCAUGGCUUUCCAUUUCCUUAGAUCCAUGGGUUCAAAUACACCAUGGAGCAUCCAUGGAGUAUCCUAUGGGUUUUAGCCUAACUUAACAAUCCAUGGAGUCUUAGCCCACUAUACAGGUAUGUAUGAUAUACACAACCAACCCAUAUAUUUAAUUAGUCUUCUUUUGAUCACUUAAUUAAUUCUAGAUUAAUUCUUGAUCAAUAUUAAUUAAAUAAUCUUAUUAAUAUAUUAUAACUUAUAAUAUAUUAAUAAACCUUAAGUGUUAUUUCUCUCAUUUUAUUCUAUCCAAAUGCAUGAUGCCAUGCAACCCAAAUGGACUAUGUCGGGUCGGGUCAAGUAUAUACCAAUUAUAGUUAUGGACUUAGACACUAAUCCAACAAUCUCCCACUUGGAUAAGUCUAAUAACUAUCAUUGCAAGUACGGCUUCACAACCCGACCAGCAAUCAUAGCUCUUAAAAGUUGUUGCCGAUCUCUGAACAAAUCAAUGACGCGUCCAUUAGAUAAAUGAUCAUAUAUUCCUCCAUUCUAGACAUCAUAUGGACUGAGACAUGGAUUAUAAUCAUUCUCUCUGCCAUUUGUUAUUUCCCGAUGUCUGAUUUAAGAUGAUCAACUAAUUGAACAAAUCAAAUCAGUCCAGGCUUAGCCAAGCACUUAGGGGUGCCAUCACUAAAUCAUCUAGGGGCCCACAGAUAUCUCUUUUAUCCCAUUAAGGGUAAAAGGAAUGGAGAAACUCCAACUCAUAUGCUUGUACUGACUACUAUUUGAAUCAUACAUAAAUUCACGUUUAUAACAUCGAGUUACCAAUGCGUUUUCGUGCAAUCAAUGUAUAACCAACUCGUAGUCAACAACUGAUAUCUCUAGGUUUGAAGAAUAUAAGAUAUUAUGUGGUGUAAGUGUUCUUAUCCAUGUGAAUUUGUCAUCACCAUAAUCACAAGACAAGGUGUCACACCCCAAAACCGAGAACGGCGGAAACGUUCUGGGGCGGAGGACGUCAUGUAAUGUAUCACAAUAAAUGUAAAGUAGUAAACAAGCAACAACAUCGUCCAUUCAUUAAUAGUAAAAGUUUAAUAUAUGUGUGUUCUUUCAUAGUAAUAAGACAUUACAACAAGUAAUCAAAAUAAAAGACGAGUCUUGACUGCUCUGUCUUCGCAAAACCUGGUCAUCGUACCUGUCUACUGGUGACCUGAGAAUACAAGUUAUUUUGAAAGUGUAGGUCAGCAUUUAAGCUGGUGAGUUCAUAAGUAUUUAAUGUCAUCGUUUGUAUAAGUAUGAAGAAAACAUUUGGAAUUAUUCAAUGUAAUUGUUUGUAUAAGUUUGAAGAAAACGUUUGGAAUGAAUCAAUGUAAUUUUUCAUAUAAGUUUGAAGAAAACGUUUGGAAUUAAUCAACGUAAUUGUUUGUAUAAGUUUGAAGAAAACGUUUGGAAUGAAUCAAUGUAAUUGUUUGUAUAAGUUUGAAGAAAACGUUUGGAAUUAAUCAACGUAAUUGUUCGUAUAAGUUUGAAGAAAACGUUUGGAAUUAAUCAAUGUAAUUGUUUGUAUAAGUUUGAAGAAAACGUUUGGAAUUAAUCAAUGUAAUUGUUCGUAUAUGUUUGAAGAAAACGUUUGGAAUUAAUCAAUGUAAUUUUUCUUAUAAGUUUGAAGAAAACGUUUAAAAUUGUUCUACAUUUGUAUAAAACUGAAUAAAAUAGUUUGUACAUGUUUGAAAGUUUCUAGAAAAUCUGAUAUUUUCUACUAGUAUAACCAUACUAAGGCAUUUGAUAAUCCCGUAAACCAGUGUGUUUCUAAUACUCCAUGUGAGUUUUAUAACCAUACUAAUGACCCAGACUUCCUGUAACAACGUUCUUCAGGCGUUGAAAUGUUAUGACAUUUGUCACCCCAGGCCUGCGGGCCUAGCUGUAGCUAACAACUUAGGUGCGGGAUUGUCAAUCCCGUAUAGAUCUAUACACAAGUAUCACGCUCCCCCUACAAUGGAUUAUGGUAUGUAAUACAGGACUUAAAAUGCAUACUCGAAAGUACGUGAAAUGUCUCACAAAACUUAGUAUCAAACAGAUUUACGUAUGAAAAUGUCCAUUUGUUCUUGAAUAUGAAAGUAUUUCUUUGAUAUAGUAUUUCUAGUAUGUAAAUGUUCAUGAUUUCCUCGUAAACUAUACCUAUUAUAGUCAUUCAAAGUGUGUGUUUCGUUCGUAUAGCAAAUCCUAGUGUAAUGUUCACUUGUUAUGUAAAGUAUAACAUCUAAAAUGACAUAAAUGAUCACAUAUACUUAAAGUAUAAAUAAAGGGUUUGAUUCGCAUAUCUAACUACUUUAUAAUACAUACAUCUUGGUGGGGACCACAAAAUUUAAGACAAAGUCUUAAAAACAAGGGGAAUCAAUUUUGACCUUAGAUUUUUUUUGAACGGUGGAGAUUAUAUUAUUGUUGGUGAUCCAAGUAAACAUCUUUAAACCAAUCACAAACAAGUAUUCUAGAUUUUCAAUUCUUUAAAGUUUAUGUCUUCCAUAUUUAAAUUUACAGGGAACGGGAAAGAAAUCACCUUUCAUUUAAAAUCACAUUUCUCAUCUUCUCGAAUUGCCGUCUCUCUAGAACCUCCUCACUAUCUUCAUCUUCUCCAUUAACGACUCUGGAGAUCAAUGUCAUCAUUACCUUUACUUACAGCUAAUCCGUUCACCAUUACCUUACUUCCAUCAAACCCCCACACCAACAAUAGAGUUUCUCAUGACAUUCUCCCUCUCUCUUUCUUCAACGCCACCUCCAUUCUCAAACACGGGUAGGAUAAAAUUUUUUCAAAUCUUUAUGUGUAGAUCCAUUUGUGUGUGUGUUUUACAGAAAGAGACUAAGGCCACAGGUAGGAUAAAACAUUUAAAAUCUUUAUGUGUGUGUUUUAGGGAUCUAUAUGUAUGUAAACCUAUUUAUAUGUAUAAAUUUGUGUAUUUAUGUUUAAUAUAUUUUCGAUUUUGAUGUUCUAAGAGUUUUAUAUUUCAUAUUUUCAGAUUUGAAUCUGCAAAUUCUACACAAAAAGACAAAAAGUUGGAUCUCUUAUAAUCUGUUGUAGAUAUUUGUAGGUCUUACUUACUCAAUGCAGUGUAGAUAUGUGUUUUAGAUGUGUUUUUUGUUGUAUUUUGUAAGUAUCUAUAUUUUGUUUAAAGAUAAAUGAAUUAAUUAGUUCUAUGUUUUUUAUUAUUAUUAUUUAGAUAUGUAUAAUGGAUUUCAAUGAUUUGGAAUAAGAACUAGGAACUGUAUGUCACAGAUUAAGAUUUGUAUUGCAUAAAUUACGUUUGAUUUUUUACAUCUAGAUUUUUAAUAAUUUUAUAUUUUGAUGCAUGAGUGAAGGACAUAAAAACACAACAAAACUAAUUUCCGGUUUUUGUUUUUCUCUUUAGAUGUAAGGUUUUGAUGGUAAAACCUAAAGGUGCAAAAUUUGUUGUUCCAUGAUUUAGUGUGAUUUGUAUAUUCUAUCUAUUUGUAUUAGUAUUGAAUGAGUUAUUUGUUUAUUUUUAUUAAUAAACGAGAAAAAUAUUUCCCUUUUUUUGUGUAGAAUAGUCUUUCUAUUUUUAAAUAUUUGGAGUUAUACUUUUUAUAUAAAAAAACUUGAAUGAGAUAUUGUAACUAUUCUAUUUACAAAUAAAAAAAUAUUUUGCUAGACAAAAAAUAAAUAACAAUUGAAAUAUUUUGAAGAGGUUGUAAAUUUUGUUUAUAGAUAAAAAUAUUAUGUUUGAGUAUAUAAUAUUAAAUAAGGAAAACUGUUUUCUUAUAAGAAACGAUUAACUUAAUUAAUAAAUGACUUUUGUAAACAAAAUUAUAAGGAAAAAAAUCAAAGAUAAAAAUGGCGUUGCAAAAAAAUAGAAAGAGUUAAGAUUCUUUCAAAUAUGCUGAUUAUCAUAAAUGUUGCGAUUGGUACAAAGUGCUUUGGGUAUUCUAACAGUUUAAAAAAAAAAAAACUUUUAGGUUUGUGAAAAGAAAUGUGGCGAUAUCAUGGGUUUGUAAAAUACGUCUUUUCGUUAAAAAAAUGAUUUUUUUAUAUUUAAUACUAAUAUUCAUUUUACAUUUAUAUUUAAUUAUAAAACUUUUUGAUUAAUAUAACAAAAUAGACGUCAUUUCAUUUUAAAAAAUGAAAUCAAUUAUGUAUAAGGUAUAUCCAAAUUUAUAAAUAGUUGUUUUUUAUACAAACAACAGUUUAGGAUGAUUAACAGUCUAGGAUGAUUAGAAAAAAAUUUGUCUAUAAGUUAAUAUGCUAACAUAAAAGAUGUUAUAUAAACAAGUUAAAAUAACAAAUAUUACUGCAUAAUAUUUUAAAUUUUUUUGAAUCUCUAGAUAUAUGAUUAUGUUGUUUUAAUGGGUUUUGUUUUGCAAAAUUUACUAUGAAUUAAGAAACCACAAAAAUAUAAACACUUGAAAGAUUAAUACAAGUGAAAAACAAUAAGUGAGUUUCCUUAAAAAAAAUGAUAUGUACAAAGAAAAAAAGUGAUUAAAUGUAUAUAACUUUGUACAUAUUUUUUAUUAUCUUUCAUAUUUAAAUAAUGGGUUAAUAACUUUUUUUGGACGGGAGUUUUAGUUUUUUCAAUAUCUCUGAAUAAAAUAUAAAUGAUUUUGAACUAUUACUUUUAUCCAAAAAUCUAACACACUUAAUUUUUUGUUAAUUUUUGGUAACAAAAGAACGAAUUAAAAAAAAAAUUCUAAUUUAUUGAAUUUUAACAUGCUAAAAAAAUUGACAACUUUAAGUGUAUUUAAUUAUAUCUUAUAAUAAUCAUAUAAUACUAUUUUAUUAAACUUAUAAUUAUUAUAUAAAUAUAUAUACUAAACGAAGCCUUAAACCAGAUCCUCCCGUUUUUACUAUUUCGUUUAUUAGAAGUAUUUAAGAAUUUUAUUUGUUGCUUAUUAGCUUAUUACUUAUUUGCUUAUUGUGGUGAGAAUAAAUAUUUUUUUAAAAUGUGUUUGGAUUAGCAUAUUGCGGUGGGAAUAAACAAUAAGUAAUAAACAUUUAAGUGUUUGACAAAAUAAAACAACUUAUAUGAGUAAAAUGACCAAUAAACAAUAAAUAAUAAGCAAUAAGCAUUCCCCCUCUUGCUUAUUAAAAUCAGUUUAUUUUGUUUAUUCCUACCGCAAUAAGUUGAUUUUUAAAGAUUACUAUCCAAACACUUAAAUUUGCUUAUUGCGGUUGGGUUUAGCAAUAAGCAAUAAUCAACUUAUUUUUUCCCUAUCAAAACACCCACGUAAUAUUAAUUCCAAAGCCAACUACACGAUUUAUAUUUGGAUUUGGAUUACAAGCACAAAGGUAACACAUCAUCAAAUAUGAAAUUUAUUAAUUUAUCAUUGUGGUCCCAUUUUUUCAACUAUUUGUAUUACCCUCAUUUUAAGUAUAUUUUAAAAACUAAAAAACACAUCUUUAUUUAAAACCAAAACAAGAAUGCAUGUAAAAUAAUUGCACACAAAGAAUAUAUUCUAGAAAUAAAUUUCUGAAUCAAAACAAAUUGCGGAAAAAACUUUUUUCGCUAUAAUUUGUAAUCCAUUNUUUUUUUUUAAUUUUUUAAAAAUUUUUUUUUUUUUUUUUUUUUUUUUUUUUUUUUUUUUUUUUUUUUUUUUUCUAAAAAUAAUAAGACUUUUCUGUUAAAAAAAAUUAAGACUUUGAUUUCUGAUAAAAAAAAAAGACGAGUCAAGAAAAAGACCUGUACGAAAAACGAACGGUCGAGACAACCCGUAAUACAUCGAAAGCAAAUUAUUCGUUGUUCGGGAAAAAUUUACUAAUCUCCGGAAUGAAAUUAAUCGUCGUCCGCUGCAUCGCGCGGGUAGCCUACUAGNNNNNNNNNNNNNNNNNNNNNNNNNNNNNNNNNNNNNNNNNNNNNNNNNNNNNNNNNNNNNNNNNNNNNNNNNNNNNNNNNNNNNNNNNNNNNNNNNNNNNNNNNNNNNNNNNNNNNNNNNNNNNNNNNNNNNNNNNNNNNNNNNNNNNNNNNNNNNNNNNNNNNNNNNNNNNNNNNNNNNNNNNNNNNNNNNNNNNNNNNNNNNNNNNNNNNNNNNNNNNNNNNNNNNNNNNNNNNNNNNNNNNNNNNNNNNNNNNNNNNNNNNNNNNNNNNNNNNNNNNNNNNNNNNNNNNNNNNNNNNNNNNNNNNNNNNNNNNNNNNNNNNNNNNNNNNNNNNNNNNNNNNNNNNNNNNNNNNNNNNNNNNNNNNNNNNNNNNNNNNNNNNNNNNNNNNNNNNNNNNNNNNNNNNNNNNNNNNNNNNNNNNNNNNNNNNNNNNNNNNNNNNNNNNNNNNNNNNNNNNNNNNNNNNNNNNNNNNNNNNNNNNNNNNNNNNNNNNNNNNNNNNNNNNNNNNNNNNNNNNNNNNNNNNNNNNNNNNNNNNNNNNNNNNNNNNNNNNNNNNNNNNNNNNNNNNNNNNNNNNNNNNNNNNNNNNCCGGGGCUUUGGGAGGGUCUCGGGGGCUUAAACGCAGAGUUUCGGCGCGAGAAAGAAGGGAACUGAGCAAUGGAACUCGGAGCCCUUGAAAUAUAUUUAUAGGGGCAUUUUUGAGGUGUGCCACGUCAUGGCAAGGGAUGGACACGUCGUGGGGAGUCAAACUUAUCCUCUUCCAUUGAUUGGACGCCCUCAGUCACUUGUCGGGUCGCGGCAAGCUUGUGCCACGUCGUAGCAAGCCUGACAGCCUCGGAUUUCGAACGUCGAAUUUGUAAAACCCAUAACUUUUGCGUACGAGCUUCGUUUUGACGUUCUUUAUAUGCAUGCGUAGCUGAAAAUAUGCUCUACAACUCUCGUUUAGACUUCAUUGGCUAAUUUUGACUUUAUUUUUAAUUAUUUAUUUUUAACAGGCCGGGACACGAAAAUUACGUUAAAAUUCCAUAACUUCUUCAUCCGAUGUCCGUUUUCGUCAGACUUUUCGCCGUUGCGCUACUAUUUUUGAGACCUUCGAUUCUCAUUUAGGUUGUUUCGGUCAAAAGUCUCUCGAGCUCUAUUUCGAGUUUUUAGCUGUCUACUGUUAUAUCCGGAUCUUGGAAAAAUCAUAACUUCCUCAUACGAAGUCAGAUUUGGACGUUCUUUUUAUGUACGCUCACGGUUUAAUGUUAUCUACAACUUUCAUUUAGAUACUUAAGGCUAAAAACUAUUGUAUUGAAAUUUCGUGUUUUUCGUUUAAUCGGUGUUGCCGGUUUUGCCGCGAACUUUCGGUUGGUCAUAACUUCUUCGUUAUAACUCGGAUUUUAGGGUUCUUUAUAUAUACAAAAACCUUGAUGCGAUUUGUACUACUUUAUUUAACCCAAAUAUGAUUUUAGGAAAGUUAUAUUUUGACCUAAAUUUGACUGGUUUUACAUUACAUUGUCUCUAAAUAUCGGGUUGUCACAUCAUCCCCCCGUUAGAGACUAUUUCGUCCCGAAAUUAGAGUUUUAAGCAGAAUUGAUAAAUAUGCUACGGAUAAAAGUUUUAUUUGCUCCUCGUGUUCUUAAGUGAACCCAGGUCCUCGCUUGGCAUUCCAGCGAACCUUUCACUAUCGGGAUACAACUUUGCUUGUUUCGUUUGACUUCCCUGGUAUGAUAACUCCUCUUUGUCGAACGUGUGUUGAGUGUUUUUGUCGUCUGUGAGAGUAUUACACCUUGUACCUUACAAGUAGUGUCUCCAGAUCUUCAGAGCAAUUACCAUUUCUCCUGACUCAAGAUCAUGUGUUGUAUAGUUAACUUCUUGCGUCUUAAGCUAUCUUGAGGUAUAUGCAGUGACCUUUCCUCUUGCAUAAGAACACAACCAAGCCGUUGGUUGGAUGCAUUGCAUUACACCAUGAAAUAUUCUAUCCCUUUUGGGAGGGAUAAUAUUGAUGUGAUGCGUCAGGCUUACUUUAGCGUUUGGAACGCUCUUUCUUGUUUAUAGACAAGUCUGGUGCUCCUCCAAGUGAGAAACUUGGCCGAAGGAAUCCUCUUUUGAGGAGUUCGUUAAGCUGUCUGGGAAGUUCUAGUAUCUUAGUUAGAGUUAGACGAUAAGGUGACUUGGCUACUGGGGUAGCCCUUGUAACUAAGUCAAUUCUGAACUCGAAUUGACGUUGUGGUGGUAAUCCCGGUAGUUCUUCUGGAAAGGUGUUGGGAAAGUCGCGUACUUUUGGGAUGUUCUGAAUGUCCUUCGCUUCUUGGCUCGUAUCGACGAUGUGUGAUAUUCCCUUCGUAAGCGCUUUUGAGAUUAAAUACAUGAAAUGAUGCGAAGGUUCGUACCUGAUUUGUCUCCGUAAAUAACAAGAGGUUCUGUGAUAGGGAGGUUAAGAUGAACUGCUUUAUCAAAGCACCUGAUUUCGGCUCGACGUAGACUUAACCAACUCCUACUGAUUAUGAUGUCAAAACCUUGGGGUGGAUUAGAUGUCGUGAAGAUCUAAAAGAAAGUAUGACUACUCAUGAAUUAGGGAAAAGGAUAGGUAUUUCUAAGUUUAUUCUCACGGAAGCACGAUCACUCUCAGUCUUGGGCAGUCUCCGUCUAGAAGUUCAUAGUAGAACUCAUACCUGGUUCAUUAAUCACAAUCUUGGGUAUACGAGUCGUAUAUAAUUAAGAUUGAAACUGUGGGUCUUUGGAUUGAACUUGACGUACUGCACGAGUGGUACUUCGGGGAGGUUUGCUGAGGUUUCUUUGGAAAGGGUAAGAAACAUGACAUACUCUACGCAUGAGUACUUAGGAGUUCUGAAGUGAUAGUUUCAUUAGAAAGAUGAUUUUGGAGAAAGAGAUUUACGCACGAAACUGGUAUUGUGAGGAUCAAAUAGACUCUGAUCGUAUGAUGAAAUCGGAAUCACUUGGAAAUAAAGACACUAGAUUCGAUCAUAAAGGCGUUACAGACAAAACACAACAGUGCAACUUUUUUAAUAGAGUUACAGUACUUUAGAGUAACUACAGGAAUACUGCUGCGAACGAAGUACACUAUAAAAGGCAAGUAUACGCAGCACGAGGGUCCCUUAACUGACGGGAUCUCGCAAGAGAUAAUACUCGAGUUGCACUAGUUCUAAACAUGUUUUAAAAACAUACAUAAUACUGACGAUUGGAAGUGAACCUAUACUAUAGUAGGGUCCUUCAUUGCCUCUUUCCAUUAUGAGGUCAAACUCCUCCGGAUUCGCCGUCGUUCUCCUCUAUUGGACAGUCCCUCUUAAAGUGUCCCAUUACGCCACAUAGAUGGCAUAUUCGAGAGAUUUCGACAUUGGUGGUUGAAGUAAUGUGUUGGAUCCGAGUCUUGCAAUAAUGGACGGUGUGUCCCUUUUUAUUGCAAUUUAAGCACUGCAUUUUCCAACAAAGUCCAUGAUCGUGGUAGUUGCAUUUGUUGCACUUUGGGAGAUUGCCAGCAUACUGUCUGGCCGGGUUGGGGAUAACUGGGAUACUAGAAGAAAUGGUAGUAGGAGGUAUAGAAGUCGUGGCUGUGAAGGUUGCCACAGGUUGUUGUCUUUUGCUUGCCCCUUGGGGUGAUUUGCCUUUAGCCUUAGCCCAAAACUUUCGUUUGUUAUUCUUGCGCUUGAGAUUCGGGGUGUCGUGGUAGUUUGUUGUUCAUCGAGGUACUUGAUCGUUACUUGGAUUGGAAUUAUUGUUAACAAUCCCGCUAACAUUCGCGUUGUUAGCAUUAAGGUGGACCAGAAUAGCUGACACGACAGCCGAGACUGCAGCUUGAAAGGUAGCCGCAUUAAUCUAAAGAGUUGGUGUUUGGUUGAUGGGUUGAUCAUUUUUCUUCGGCGACAUGAUUCUGUUACACGGAAAGAAAAAUGAAUUUGUGAGCGAGUAUGGUUGAACCUAGACGUAGUUCGAUUGUUCAUGUAAAGAAUAGAAGUAUGUUCUCUAAGGUUUGACCUAUAUCCCUAUGAUGUCGUCCUAGUAUGGAGUAGAAGUAAGCUCGUAGAGUGGUCUCAAGACGUUUAUCGUCCAAUCCAGGGUAUUAUUGGUUGGUAAAUAACAUGAUCCAACCUUUGAAAGAGACUUGGAAAUGAUUCCAGAGUUAAACUACCAUAGUCCAAUAACUUGACUAGAUGGGGUUUCAGAUAGACUCCAAUGAAAUCAUGAUGAAAGCAUUUGAACAAAGAUUGACACGGAAGUUAGACGACUGUCGAUAUCAUUGAUGUUUAAGAUUUAAUAGGUUUGGGGAAAUUGACCUUGUUGUAAGUCUUACAUCAUAUUCAGGGAAGAAAAGUCUUCGACAACAUAAGGACUUAAAUAAAAGUACUUACAGUACAAGGUAAUUACAUAGAAAGUACUACACAGAUCAUAGGCAAGAACAUGGUUCUAUAAAACAAAGAAGGAAGUAAGGUAUCUCCCACUGGUGAUGGUCACGCCUAUGGUGAACCCUUAGUUCGGCUAGUUGACGUUCCAUAUCCAGCAGGUAUCUUUCGUACACCCUCUGGCGUACUUGGAGUUCUAUGACAUCGGCUCGUGAUUCAGCCAGUGCUUGAAGUAGUGCUUCAUGGUCUCUCUCAGAGCUCUCACGAGCAUCUUCCAGACGAAUGGUGCGGAGGGUAUGCAUUCUCGCAUUGGUAUUAACCUCUUCGAUACAUUAGAGAGCCGUCCUGCCCUGAAUUUCGUUUCGGGCAACUCUACGGAUUAGGAUUGGUAGAACUUUGUCUGCUGAGCUCCCUUCGUUUACGUUGUAGAAGCUUCGGUCUCCAUUAAACGGCAUAGGUUGAUAUUGCUCUUCGCUCCAUGUUUCCAUGCAUUCUACCCAAGGAGGCGUCGGGCCAUAAAAAGCGGGACGAGGUUUAGGAUUUAGAAAUGGAGCUACCGGGGGUAGGUUCUCAACCUCGGUUUCGGAGUUGUCAACAUCUGAAAGGUUUUCAACAUGGUGAUCAUUCAAAGGGAUUGGAUGAUCAUUCUCUGGUCCUUCUCCAACCCAUCCAACAAUGACUUCGUUCGGAAAGUACGGGUUGCCAUGGGGAUGGAGUCCAGCCAUGUUAUCUACGCGAGAAUUGGGGUAAGGAAAUAAUUAUUAGACGAACUAUCUAGAUAAUUAUUAGAAAAUCUUCAUUAGUUACAUCGCUAUUUGUAAAGUGCAUACCAGUCAUAUGUAAUCAACACAGGAUAGGCUUUCGAAUAAGUGACCUUAACUCCAAAUUCACAAGGAAUAGGGGUAAAGCAAAAAUUUCACCGAUUCUAAGUCUAUAACAUCCUAGUUACAUAUAGCCUUAGUGUAUCCACUUAACAACUAUCAACUUAGUAAUGAAGAUCCUUUUUAGUUCUCAAGUAAGUAAUUAUGGUAACCCAAAACACCCCUAUGGUAUUUUAGACUUAGGUUCUGUUAUAAUGUUCUCAUUGUGGUAAUGUUGGUAAGUUUUUAGACUUGUUGCCAUAUNAGUUUUGACCAUAUGUCUCUAAGCCCACUUGUGUUGCCCAACAAUCGUAAUUCUUUUGUACUGUCCUACUGACAUUGAUUUUAGUAUGAAUGCAGGCACGUAUACUCACUUAAAUAUUUUAUUAUUUUAAAGUAUAAACUCUAAAUCAGAGUAUUUUUAAUCCCAUUGUAUUUAUAGUUAGUAUAUCUUUUAUGGGUUGAUAUACUCAAUUCACUAUAAACAAUGCUCUGAUACCAAUCUGUCACACCCCAAAACCGAGAACGGCGGAAACGUUCUGGGGCAGAGGAUGUCAUGUAAUGUAUCACAAUAAAUGUAAAGUAGUAAACAACCAACAACAUCGUCCAUUGCAUUAAUAGUAAAAGUUUAAUACAUGUGUGUUCUUUCAUAGUAAUAAGACAUUACAACAAGUAAUCAAAAUAAAAGACAAGUCUUGACUGCUCUGUCUUCGCAAAACCUGGUCAUCGUACCUGUCUACUGGUGACCUGAGAAUACAAGUUAUUUUGAAAGUGUAGGUCAACAUUUAAGCUGAUGAGUUCAUAAGUAUUUAAUGUCAUCGUUUGUAUAAGUAUGAAGAAAACAUUUGGAAUUAUUUAAUGUAAUUGUUUGUAUAAGUUUGAAGAGAAUGUUUGGAAUUAAUCAGUGUAAUUUUUCAUAUAAGUUUGAAGAAAACGUUUGGAAUUAAUCAACGUAAUUGUUCGUAUAAGUUUGAAGAAAACGUUUGGAAUUAAUCAAUGUAAUUGUUUGUAUAAGUUUGAAGAAAACGUUUGGAAUUAAUCAAUGUAAUUUUUCGUAUAAGUUUGAAGAAAACGUUUGAAAUUGUUCUACAUUUGUAUAAAACUGAAUAAAAUGGUUUGUACAUGUUUGAAAGUUUCUAGAAAAUUCGAUAUUUUCUACUAGUAUAAAAGUAUUCUUCUACCAAGACUCGACUAUUUUGUAUGCUUACCUUUAGAAGUCCAAUAUCUGUUCAUAAGUGUGUGUGUGUGGUUUAAAAACUCCAAAACUAUAACAAAAUGAUGUUUUUCAUGCCUAAAUAAUAGUUAUGUGUAAAUAUAAAAUCACUAAGGCAUUUGAUAACCCCAUAAACCAAUGUGUUUCUAAUACUCCAUGUGAGUUUUAUAACCAUACUAAUGACCCAGACUGCCUGUAACAACGUUCUUCAGGCGUUGAAAUGUUAUGACAUUUGUCACCCCAGGCUUGCCGGCCUAGCUGUAGCUAACAGCUCAGGUGCGGGAUUGUCAAUCCCGUAUAGAUCUAUACACAAGUAUCACGCUCCCCCUACAAGGGAUUAUGGUAUGUAAUACAGGACUUAAAAUGCAUACUCGAAAGUACGUGAAAUGUCUCACAAAACUUAGUAUAAAACAUAUUUACGUAUGAAAAUGUCCAUUUGUUCUUGAAUAUGAAAGUAUCUCUUUGAUAUAGUAUUUCUAGUAUGUAAAUGUUCAUGAUUUCCUCGUAAACUAUACCUAUUAUAGUUAUUCAAAGUGUGUGUUUCGUUCGUAUAGUAAAUCCUAGUGUAAUGUUCACUUGUUAUGUAAAGUAUAACAUCUAAAGUGACAUAAAUGAUCACAUAUACUUAAAGUAUAAAUAAAAGGGUUUGAUUCGCAUAUAUAUAUAAACAUGUUUUAUUUCCAAAAGACAAGAUGUUAUCGUGAAUAUAUAUAUCAUACGAAAGUUCCUAUGAAGUAGUUAUGAAUCACAUAUGAUUCACUCGAUAAAAAGAGUAUAUGGUGAAACUUUAUGUUACACACGAUAACAACCGUGUGUUUACUUGUAUUCCCCCCCUUUAAAAGUGUAUACAACGAUUUAAAAGUAGUUUGUUUGAUAAGACAGUGUAAAGUAAAAGAAAUCCCUUGUUUGAAAACACAGUUAUAAAUCACAUAUGAUUGAUUAUAUAACAAAGAGUAUAACAACAGAUUUAUGUUUUUCACACGGUGAUAAUCGUGUGUUUACUUGUAUUCCCCCCCCUUUAAAGUGUAUAAAAUGCAUUUAUAAAACAUUUGAAAGUGUUGUUUGUAGGGGUAGGAACUCACUUGAUUGAAGUGGUUGAUUUGAAGUAGUCGAGAAAAGAAUCAAGCAGAACUUCGACAGGAAGAGUUGAAAACGCGGGAAAUCUCGGGAUUCUUGGGAAACUUGGGAAUCUCGGGAACACAAAACCUUCCUUCGGGACUUGAAGGUGAAAACCUGGGCUUUGGGAGGUCUCGGGGGCUUAAACGCAGAGUUUCGGCACGAGAAAGAAGGGAACUGAGCAAUAGAACUCGGAGCCCUUGAAAUCUAUUUAUAGGGGCAUUUUUGAGGUGUGCCACAUCGUGGCAAGGGAUGGCCACGUCGUGGGGAGUCAAAAUUAUCCUCUUCCAUUGAUUAGACGCCCUCAGUCACUUGUCGGGUCGCGGCAAGCUUGUGCCACGUCGUGGCAAUUCUGACAGCCUCGGAUUUCGGACCUCGAACUUGUAAAACCCAUAACUUUCGCGUACGAGCUCCAUUUUGACGUUCUUUAUAUGCACGCGCAGCUGAAAAUAUGCUCUACAACUCUCGUUUAGAUUUCAUUGGCUAAUUUUGACUUUAUUUUUAAUUAUUUAUUUUUAACGGGCCGGGACACGAAAAUUACGUUAAAAUUCCAUAACUUCUUCAUCCGAUGUCCGUUUUCGUCAGACUUUUCGCCGCUGCGCUACUAUUUUUGAGACCUUCGAUUCUCAUUUAGGUUGUUUCGGUCAAAAGUCUUUCGAGCUCUAUUUCGAGUUUUUAGCUGUCUACUGCUAUAUCCGGAUCUUGGAAAAAUCAUAACUUCCUCAUACGAAGUCAGAUUUGGACGUUCUUUUUAUGUACGCUCACAGUUUAAUGUUAUCUAAAACUUUCAUUUAGAUACUUAAGGCUAAAAACUAUUGUAUUGAAACUUCGUGUUUUUCGUUUAAUCGGUGUUGCCGGUUUUGCCGCGAACUUUCGGUUGGUGAUAACUUCUUCGUUAUAACUCGGAUUUUAGGGUUCUUUAUAUAUACAAAAACCUUGAUACGAUUUGUACUACUUUAUUUAACCCAAAUAUGAUUUUAGGAAAGUUAUAUUUUGACCUAAAUUUGACUGGUUUUACAUUACAUUGUCUCUAAAUAUCGGGUUGUCACACAAGGUUAGUGGCAAAUCUAAACACAUAUGGACUGAAGGUUGUAGGCUAGUGAUUAAAAAUACUCUUGAUUAGUUCUUGAAAUUAUUUCAGGAUCAUUUAGACUCCCACUGUCCUCUUGACAUAUAAGACUCUCUUGUCAAGAACCAUUCCUUGACAAAACAAAUAUUCAAGAGUUAGUGUGGAUUCUUAUCAAGACAAACACUUCACACAAUUGGCCUUAGUUGGUCUUUAUUUUAUCCAAAACAUCACAACUUACCAAUUUCAAAUGUACCAGAGUAAGAAAACAUUUUACUCUACAUUUGACAAGUAUUUUAAACCUUUCUUAAGAUUAUGUCACUCAAGGCUCUAUCUUGGAGUAUGACUCUAAGAUUUGAUUUGGAACGGACUAUGAUUUAUCUUUUGAUUUAACCAUUUCAACAAUUCAUGAUUCCUCUCCUUAGUCAAACAAAUGCACUAAGGUGUCCUUAGAGAAUCAAUUGUGAUAUAGUUUCAUAAUCACUAAGAUAGUCAUAAAAAAGGAUACUCAAGUACUCUCCCAUCUCUUCAGAUUGGAGAAACUUUUAUCUUUCUACCUUAUUUGAUUCUUCUUAUCCGUUCUGCCAUACAUUGAAACUUUUCUAAUGUUUCAGAAUUGAACUUAAACUUGUAAGCAUAACCAUAUUUACUAAACUUUUGUAAAUCAUAACGAAUAAUCUUAUCAACCUUUGUGGUGGACCUGACCAGCACACAACCAAGUGUACCUAAUCCUUUAGUCCUUCACUUGACUCACACAUAAAUGUGAACAAGGUCUUAGUCUUAAUUUCCCAAAGAUGAAAUCAUUCAUCACACAAUACAACUUGCAUGAUUCCAAGUUUCUAUACGAUUGAAACUUGGGUGAUGAGAAUCUUUCCUUAUUUGGUAAAUUACGAUACUACCACAAAUGAAAGAAUCAAAUCCAUUUACCAAUAUUGCUUAUCAAUGGAAACAUAUAAAUAACAUUAUUUUUUCAUAAAUGCCAUUGUAAGGAUACUUAAAAUAAAUAAAACAAUUUUUUUAUCUUAAAAACUUGCGGAAAAAAAUAUACUUACAAUGCAAAUACAUAUGAAAAACAUUUUGUUGUCUAUUCCUAAGCUAUAUAUAUCAUAACUCUUAUGCAGUAGCACAAAAUUCUGAUCAUCGGACCAUGCGAUCGAAAUCCACCGAAGCCAAUAGAUGGAUCAAGAAGGAUCCAGAAGAAGAUUUCGAAGAGUACCAAUAGAUGAAAUACGAGGAAGAAGAUUUCCGAGAAGGGACCAGAUAGAGAAAGAAGUUCGGGAGAUACCAUCAAUAAACCUUACCCUAUCAAGAGGAGUGUGAGAACCUCCACCUCUCAUUUCAGGAAGCAACCCGCAAUUAACUACCUAGCCACACAUAUAGACUGGAGAGGACAACCGAUGAUCCAUAACCGACAUAAACUCACUACACCGUACUUCGGGCCAUAGCACCCAUAGACCGGCAAGCAGAUCAAGAGAACAAUACGGAUCACCUACACUCCUUAGAAAAGGAGAUAGUCGUUAUAGGACAAAGAACCCUUACAGCUACAACCUGGACAGUCAUCACAGAACUGAGAACAGAGGAGGCCACUCGCGAAAUAGAAUCAUGCCGACACAUGAAGGUAAUCAGCAUACUGGUGCAACACUAGUUCUAUAAAUAGACCCUACAACAUUUCAAAUUGCGGUAACAGCCGCCGUGACAGCAGUCAUAGCACACCUCGGCGCUAACAACACAAACAAAAGCAGGAACAACGCCGAAAGUUCCAAUCGUAAUAACAACCAGGGAAACCUCGAGUAUGUUCCUGCAACGACGCCCCAAAUCAAGGACCUACUAAAAGACAACAAAUAGUGAAAUUCCAUACCACCACCAUCCCUACUACCUCAGUGCCGACAAGACCAUAUGUUGGAAACCUGCCAAAAUGCACCAAGUGUAGCUUUCAUCACAAAGGAAAGUGCAGGGAAAUGCACUGCAAGAACUGUAAUGAAAAGGGGCAUACCACAAAUUUAUGUAGGGUGCCGGCUCAACAAACCGCCCAGAACACAAAAUCUGGGAUGAGUCGGACUUGCUACAAAUGUGGAGAAGUAGGACAUUUCAUAAAGGAGUUCCCGAAGACUAAAAACAAAGAUAUCAGGAGCGUCGGAAGUGUUUUAGCAACAGAGCGUGGGAAAGAAGUAAUAGACCCCGCUGAGAUUCCGGUACGUUCAUUCCCGAUAGCACAUAUGCAUGGAUACUAUAUAAUAGCAACGCGGAGAGGAGUAUUGUGAGUCGUAGAUUUAAUCAAUUUCUCAACCAAAAACCUCAAAAACUUAAUCGAAAUUUUUACAGUAGAAUUGGAAUAAUCAAAAGCACUAGAGACGUGUACAUAGGGUGCACUCUAACACUAAAUCAAGCAAUUCAUUCAAACCAUCCUAAAACUGGUCACAAUAAAAAUUUAUGACAUUUUCAUUUUAACAACGUAUUAGUUAGUUUCCUCAACAUACCGAUAUCAUAUAUUACGAAAAGUCCAUUCGCCUAAACCCAUCGAGUAAUAGAACCCUCGUUGUCUAUGGCGACAAACCGGACACAAACCCCCGACUCACCUUUUACAACAAGACUCAGAAGUACCUACACAGGAGGUACCACGCCGUCCUAGCCCGUGCUGUGGAUAAGAAACAAGAAGAGAAAGACAUCAUGGAUGUUGAAAAAGCCCGUAACCUUCUCGAUAUAUUCCGAGAAGAUCUCCUGGGAAUACCAUCCGUACGACAACCCGAGUUCAAAAAUCAACCUAAGUGCAGUAGUUGUGGAAAAGGGUUGUUGUAAAUGCCAUCUCACCCAAGUUAAUCACCCCACUCAAGUAGAGACUAUGGACCCAUACUAGUGAAUCUAUGAUUACUAAGUGUAUAUAUUGGAGCCCUAUAUAAUUAAGAUUCUACGGACUUAGGGUUGGUAAUUCCGCUUUAAAUCCUUUUCCUUGUUUGGAUGUGGGCUUAGAAUAGAAUCACCGAUUCGACUGUCUUUUCAAUCUUAAUUAUAUACGACUUAUAAACACAAAGAGAUGAUAGAUGAAUCAGUUAUGAGUCAUACCAUGAACUCCAUGACAAGUUACCCAGGACAGUGGAUGGACAUGCUACCACUUGAGCGAUCGUAGACAAAUCAACCAAACCCACACACUUUCUACCGACCAAGGAUACAAAGAAAAAUAGAAAAGCUAACAGGAGCAUAUACAAAGAAAAUUGCGAGACUGCAUAGUAUACCACUAUCUAUCAUUUUGGAUAAGGGACAGGCGAUUCGCCUCGUGUUUUUAAUAGUCGUUAAAGAAGUCCUUUUUAUCACCCUCAAACUGAAAGACAAAGAGGAAGAACCAUUCAUCGAAUCCUUAUACAACAUCAACUAUUACAUUAACAUCAAGGUCACGUCAUUCGAAGCUCUCUGCAGAAGCAAGUGUAGAUCACCUCUUUGAUGGGAUGAGGUAGGUGACACACAAAUAGCUAAUAGGCAAGUUCCUAACAACACUUUCACCAGCCCCCAGAUCAUACGAGAAACUACAGAGAAGAUUGUUCAAACCCGUGAAUGAUUGAAGGCAUCCCAGGAUCGGAAGAAGA
Molecule: long non-coding RNA, 47492 nt
Filed under: Lactuca sativa (garden lettuce)
Lineage: Eukaryota; Viridiplantae; Streptophyta; Magnoliopsida; Asterales; Asteraceae
Description: long non-coding RNA (LSAT_LNC003408)
Source: RNAcentral